UGGCUCAAGGCUUUGAGACUUGUAAUUGGUCUAGCUUCCCUCAACAACAAAACUUUGAGUCUCCACAAUGGUUUUGUAGUAGUUCUAUGGCUUAUGAUGACUGUAGAACUUCAAGCACAGCUCAGUUGGAUGCGAAUUUUGCAGACAGAAAUCCCUUCUUCGGUUUUCCAAGCAUGGAGAUGCAUGGAGCUAACCGUUUCUGCAGAUAAAAAAAGCUUCUUCAAGAAAGUACGAAUAGCUGCAGAGAUUCAUGUUGCUUGCUUUUUGAAGGGAUACGAAAAAUUUUGGUGCACCAGAGAAAUUGUACUUAGUUGGAUGCGAUCAUGCUUAACACUAACGCGUUACGACGAGAAAUGAAGGGCAAAAUUCAUUUUUGGUUUUGGUGACUUGUGUUGUUGCAGGCAAGAAACAAUGUGCCAUGCUGCAACAUCUCUUGUGAUGAGAUGUUUUUUCUUCCAUUUUCUGUAAAUAUAAGUUCUUGAAUGGGGUUUCAAGAAUUUGUAGUUUUACUUUGAAUGAGAUUGUGGAGAAACAUUAUGCAUGAGAAAUCUUGAUUUUGUGUAGUGUUAUUAUUGACAAUGCGUCUGUUCCAGUUCAUUAAAUGUUGUGUUGGGAUCAAUCACUUACCGUUAUGGUUAUCAUUGACAACUUUAUAACAAGCAUCAUGUUUAAUCAUGGCUUUGACCAGCCAAAUCGCUGUGAAUUCAUUAGCCGGCUGCGCCCAUAGAGACUUGGUGUAAUGGGCCAAUUGUUACAGCAAUGUAUAUGACAUACACAUUUGGCCCAAGACACAACUUCCAAGUACAUCCUAGAAUAGCCAUAGCCCAUACUACAUACUUCUCUUAAUCAUGAUGAUAUUCUGCUUUGCUUAUUUUCUUACUGUGAAUUGUCCUUUAACGCUAGUUUGAUCAACGAAGGAAGUACAUUAUAUCCUAACACAUCCCUUCAUGUGUUACAUGUUAGACGUCAAGAAGCUCUUUUAACAUUCUGGGUACGAUGAAAUUUGAAUUCGAAAGCAUCUGGUUUUUAUGUUGAAGGUGAAAAUCACAUAAAAUGAUACAUGUAUAAUGUACACGAACUUUAAGACUUUUAACUAUCCAAUGCAUCAUCUCUUCAUUUUUUUUUUUUAAAUCUUAGUUGGAUUCUAGUGUAUUCUAGUUGACUAUAUUGAUUUCAAAGUAGUCCACAAAAGCAACACGUUUCCACCCAUACUUGAAAUUACUAGACCCCAAUUGAUUGCCCAACCUUACAAGUUAAAUCAAUUCUCAACUUACGUUUCAAAACAUAAAACUUUGGGAAGAGUUUAUAGAUUUCUAAGUUGUCAUAAAUAUGAUCAUAAACUUGACAUCAAAUUAUAAUAAUAUUAAUUUUAAAUAUUGAUAGUGUACAAGUAGGUCUUUUAAAACUAUACAAAACUUGAACUCAAAUCUUACGUGGAAAAAUGUGUGUAUACACAUAAAAUCAUGUGCGUUCGAGUUAGAAUUGAAGAAUUUUUAUGUUCAGCUUUUAUAUAGUUAAAGGCCUACUUAUGCACCAGCAAAAUUAAAGGUCAUUGAUCGGAGUGGAUGACUAAUCCAUUUAGGCGCAAGUGAGGUAAAAUCGGAUUGUUUAUUUGUUCAGAUUUUGUAUAGUUAAAGGGCCUACUUGUAAACUAUCAUAAUUUAAGGUCAGUGCCAUAAUUUGAUGUCAAGUUUAGACUUAUAUUUAUGUAUUAUGCCUUCUAAGUUAAUGCAUGAUAUCAUAAUGAUAUAUGCUUGAUUUAUGAUUUAAGUUUCUUGAUUCCAAUAAUACUUGGAUAAAUAAGUAAAAAGGUAAGGAAUAAAUUAUAUUCCUUUUAAAUUGCAAGCAUUUUCUACUUUUGAGUAGGAUUGGAGAAAAGGAAAGUCUCACCUGCACCAAAGAAUAUUAUAACAUUCACUUUGACUUAACUAAAUCAAAUUUUUUUUUGCAAUAAUUGCCACUUCUCUACACACAAGAUACUAGACCAAAGUAUUAAACACCUUUUAAAAAGGGUAAAAUUAUUGAAAGCAUACAUGCUUCUUAGAUGUACAAAGUGUGUUUAUUUAUAAUUAAUCAAAACAAAAUUGAGUAAAUGGUAUUAAAUUAAAAUUAAUUCAACUCCUAAUAGAUUAAAAUAUAGAAAAGGAGUCCAAUGGUGGGGACACAAAUUGGAGCAUCCACAUGCAAUUUGUAAAUUGGCUUCUUGAUUAAGCCAAUAAAUACCAUACAUAGAAGAGACACCUCCUCAACAAACUCUUCUAUAAUAGUAAUUUUAAGAACCCCUCCCAUGGCGGAACCUAAAUUUUCAUAACAUUAUAAAUAAAAAGUAAUUUUAAUUAUAUAUAAAUAAUAUAAUUUUCUAUCAAAGGAGAUUUGGAUGAACCAUCAUCAAAGGGUAGCUCUGUCCCUGCCUCUGACCCCACCCAGGGGCGGAGCCACCAUUCAUGUUCAGUAGUAGAUGUCGAAGAGAACCCCUUCAUAUAGUUUAUAUAUUUACUUCUGAAUCCUUCGAUAAAAAUUAUGACUCACUACUGGCCCACCCCAAGAAGGAAAAAAACUCAAAACCAACAACUUAAAUUCCAUUCUCUUGCCACUUCCAUGCAAUAUUUUCAAUAGUGUAACAAACAAACUCUCUCAUUUCUCUUGACACUUCCCUUUCCUUUACUUUCCUUUUUCCUUUCAUUUCCCACUACUUAACAUACUAUUGUUGUCACAUACACACCCAUCAAAAACCAAUUUUUCUUCUAAGGAAGAAGCAAAAGAAAGAAAUUCACACUUCUAUCAACAACUCAAGAUUUUUCACCAAACAGACAUGUCAUGGUUCGUGAUUUUUCUCUUAUUUUUCGUGGUGUCCAUACAAAUAACCAAUGGAUUGAAUCCACGAAAACUAGAUGAGGGUGAGAACAAGUGUGGAGGUUGUCCAUGUAACAAACCAUGUAAUCCACCUUCACCACCACCACCAUCACCACCACCACCAUCACCACCACCACCAAAGUCGAAACCGCCAAGUGGCUACAACUGCCCUCCUCCUCCUCCUUAUUCCGGCGGCGGCGGUGGUGGUGAUCAAGAUGUUCCUUAUCCUCCAAAUUCACAAUACAUAUACAUGACUGGUCCACCUGGGGAUUUGUACCCCGUUGACCAUAACGUUAAUAGUGCAAAAAAGAGCUUUACUACUGAAUUUUCACUUUUGAUUGGUGGAUUCUUCUUGGGAUUGCUUUAUUUUUGGUGAAAUUCAACAUCAAAUCAAAUUUUAUGAGUAAAAAAUAAGUGGAAGAAGCAGCAAAUUUCAGAGACCAAAAGUUAAGUGUGGGUAUAAAUAUUCUAUAUAUAUAUUAGGUUGGUCCUUAAUUAUAAUUAGCUGUAAUCUUGAUAUAUUCAUGUUGUUUCAUUUAGUUCCAAUAACUACCUUAUAAAUUUUCUUCCACUUUUUGUUUUUUGUAAAAUUAAUUGUGAAUCCAUUGUCAAGAGACAUGUUAUCAAUCGUCUGUUCAAAGUUAUUUUCUUGUACUUUUUUUUCUUUGAGAAUAUAUCAUAAUCUCUUGUGGGAAUAAAAUAAAUUAAAAUAAUUAUUUUAGUGGUAUUGAGUCCUCAAAUUCAGUGAAGAAUAUAAUUUAGUGUCUAUUUUUAAAUUUAUGAAAUUUCAAGUGCAUUGAUUAGAAAAGUCUCUGUUUUUGCUCGUUUUAGGGUCCAUUAUUUGGUUAGGCAGUGAUAAGCAAUUGUCAUGGCGUAUAUAUGUGGCAACAUCACCUUCAUAUAUAAUUUGUUUUUUAUUAAAUAAUUACGUUAUUCGGAUCAAUUUGUAUGCAUUUUAACUAUUAUUACACUAAAUAUUAGUAAUCCAAUUAUUACACUAAAUAUUAGUAAUCCACUAUUAGCAUAGUUGACGAGGUGGUAUUAUAUAUAUUUAAUUUCAUUUAGGCAAAAUGACAAGAGAUUACGUAACUUGCUAGUAUUUUUUAAAAUUUAUAAUCUCUUAUAAAUUUUAUUUGCCUUGUUGAUCAUUAGAUUACACCCUUCAGUGUUUAAUAUUGGUUAUUGAUGAUUACUUAAAUAUUUGUUUAUAAAAAAGAUUGCGAAAACAAAUGUUUAAUUAGCACUUUGGAGGUGGGGGUCUAAAUCAAACAAAGAUAUAAUAAUUAUUUAUUGCAAUAUGGAAAAACCACUAUAUAUUGGGUUUGACACGUUUAAUUAAUUCGUUAAUUAUGCAGAAAGUAUUGGGGAUUUUUGUGUAAAUUGUUAAAUAAGUGCUACUACAAGUAUAUAUCUUAAUAUUAAUAUUAAUUUUAAUGAAAAAAAUGAAAAUGUUCAGAACUUCCUCAUCCCAUUGUCACAUAACAACGACAAAAUAUGGAGUCCGGAGUCAAAAGAGCUAAUUUUUUUAAUUAAAAAUUUCAAGGAAAUACUUAAUUUGAAAAGAAAUUAAAGGGAAUAAAACACCGGUGGUUGAGCGAUUUGCAAAUUGCUUAGUGUCUAGCGGUUUGCAAAUCGUUUGGUGUCCAGCGAUUUGUAAGUCGCUCGAUGUUCAGCGAUUUGCAACUCACUUAAGGUCUUAACGAUUUGCAUGGAUUUUUUUUUGCAUUAUUUAAGUAGUUUUUUGUUGUGAGUUAUUCAUUUCAGCUCGCUCUACACUUCCGUUUCAGUUAUUCUCGUUUCAAUUUGAAUAUUUUACUCUUAUUUCAACUUACUUUCAUUUUUUUUUGUAUUAAAAAUAAAUCACGAUAUAAUAAGAACAAUUUUAUAUUAAGAUGGUAAAUUUAAUAUGAAGUUAGUUCUGUGAUAUAUAAUCGACGGUCUAUAGUUAUAUAAAUAUUUUUAUUAUCUCUUAAAUGUAAGUACUAAAAAAACAAAAUAAAUAUAAAUUUUUCAAAGAUCAACUAGAACAUGCAUACCAACUUAUUAUUUUCAUGAGAAAGAAAUGAAUAAAAAGGUCCUAAUAGUUGUUUUACCACAAAGAUUUUAUUAUAUGUCAGAAAUAAAAAGUACUAAAGUGGGGAAAACGAAAUCAACUUUGGUUUCACAAAUUCUAGAAUCCACUUUAUCUCCUAUUAAAUUCCAUGGUCCCAAAAGUUAUAGUACAAUAAACUUUUUUUGAAGUUUCAAUUUUAGCACAAAGUUUUAAUUAGGUGUCCAUCUAUCAUUCAUUGAAUAUUAAGACUUGUUAGAGUUGAAUUUGUCCACUUGUGUGAAUAUAAUUUUUCCACUUUAGUUGCUUACUAAACCCAUGUGCUGUUGUUGGUUUAGAUUUUAAUUUUCAUCAGAAAAAAAAAAUGUUUUUUAGGCCAGGGGUUUAUAUUUAUUUAAAGUUUAAGUAAUUUAAAUUUGAGUCACUUAAAGACCUAUUAAGGAUAAAGUACUGCUUCAUAUUUACUUAUAAUUUUUGUUUUCAUUUUUAAUUAUUUCAGAGAGAAAUAUAUAUCAAUGGAUUAUAUAUUAAGAGCUGAAUAAUGGACAGAAAGAACAAUAUAGUAUUAUUAUGGAUAACUACAAGUUUUGAUUUGACGUGAAACAAAUGGACAUGCAUAUGUAACAUGAUUACUCACCUAUGAUGUGUCAAUUUGUCCCACUUUAGAAGAUGAUAAAAAUAGAUCUUUAUAUUUACAAUUUUUUUAAAAUUAAGUAGUCCUUCGAUUGUAUGUAUAGGCUUCUUUUAUUAAUUAGAAGAUUUUUUUUUUUUAAAGUGAAUGAAACUGCUCCUCCGAUUUCUUAAUUGGAGGUUUUAGAUUCGACUCUUAAAUAUAAAAAAAUCUUUGAUAGGGAGCGUUAUUUCUCGAAUGGGACACGAUUCGAUAUGAAUUUAAAUUACUCGAGUUUCAUGCGGGUAUCAAAUACCGAAUAAAAAUAAAAAAAAGAAUCUCUUUUUUUUCUCUUUUUCCACCACUUUGUAGGAAAGUUCCACUUUUUCUUUCAUUUGUUGGCUUGAAGAAAAAAAAAGGUUAUAAUAUACAUAUUCUACCUUUAGGAGAAUUUUCCAGCUUGUUGCAUAAAGACUUGACACUUUAUAUUAUUUCUGAAUGAAAUGAGUUUGCUCAUUAGUUGGUUGUCUACAACCCAAAACAACAAAUUAGCAUGACCAUUCUAAAAGUAUUAUAACCUUAAAAAUGGUUAAUGGUAUAUCGUAUUUUUCAAAAAUAAUCGAAAAGUGGACAGUAAAUGCUAUUUUUAUAAAACGUAAAUGAUAACAAAAAAUAGUUUUAAUCGAGGUAUUAAAAUUUAAAAUGAAAAGGGUCCUCAACUCACUUAAUCCUUCACUUUAUAUGCAUAACAAUAACAAUAACAAUAUAUAUAUAUAUAUAUAUAUAUGCACCUAUUCAAGGGCAGAAGUAGAGGAGAAAAUCACAUUAUGUAUAAAAAGUUUAAAACAAAGAUUUAUACAUGUAUAAUAUGUGAAUCUAGUUUCUUCUACUAUAUUUUUCUUCUCAUAGAAAAGUUUAUUUUCCAUUAAUGUUAAUAUUCUAUAUAUUGUAUAUCCCUUUGUAAUAGGUUAAUUGGAUAAGUUGGAUGAAUCAUAUAUCCUAGUGAUAAGAGAAUAAAACAAAGAUGAGAAGACAUGUCAACAAACGUUUGAACCUUAGGCUUGUAAUGUGCUUUAUGCUAAUUGGUACUUAAUAAUAAAUAAACUGAUAAACUUGAAAGUUUUUGGACAUAUUUUGAGUUUUAUUCCUUUGAAGAACUUCAUCGUGCCUUCCUUUUUCCUUUUGGCCCACAUAUCUCUAUCAUUAGGAAACCUCUCAUAAAUCAAUAAUCAAUAAAAUCAAGUAUAUAUAUCAACCGCUACCACUAAUCCUACUUGAAACGGGUGUGGUAGGAUGAAUAAAAUUUCUUUUAUAUUUUUAAUUAAAUGAUCUUAAAUUUGGAUUUUAAGAAAAAAAAAAAAAUCAAUGUCAGAAUUAACAAGAUGUAUUUUCAAGAUUUUAGUAUACAGACAUAUUUUUUGUUUGUUUAACUGAUGAAAUGAUGAUAGCAAGCGAUGAAAAAAAAGAGUAGAGAGUUCUGAACUUGAGAAUUUAGAGGAUGCAAAAUUAAUAAGAUUAGAAGCCGCUAGGAUUAUUUCAUCAAUUAUUUUUAAUGAACUUAUGUGAUAUGAAUUUGAAUUAAUUGAUAUUGUAAAUAUCAAAAUAGUCCAGUAGAUGAUUAUAGAAGAAAAAAAGAAACACAUGCCCAACUUUUCCAAUUUCCCUUGCGUGUGAAAUAAUUCAAUUCUUGAUUAGUCAAGGCUCUCUAUUUUCUUUUUCACAUUUACUUAUUAUUACAGUUGGUAGAAAAUUGUCAUGCACUUACUAUUUUUCUCUGUCCACCUUUGUAUAUUGUAAUCAUCAUAAUCAAUGUAUUAUAAUAAGAGCAUGACGUUUUUUGCUUUUAUUUGCUUUGAAUAUCAAAAUGUAAAAUAAUUUGAAGUCACCUUGGCUAGGAACACACUCCAUCAAAAUAUUUUUUUCUAUAUGAAUUCAGAUACUAAUUAAGAUUAUUAAGCUCCAAAACUAAUAUCAAUCAAUUUUUCAAAAAAUAACAUUGAGUCCUUUAUAGAUGGAGGGGAUUGGGAUUUGACAAUUGCAUGAUGAUGAUUUUUUUUUUCCCGAACUAUUUCUACAAUCGACAGUCAUGAGACUAAUUCUUCGUUCUACUGUCAGUACACUAAGCGGUAGGGAACUGGCUAAAGAUUGGGAUUUGACAAUUGCAUGAUGAUGAUGUUUUUUUUCCCGAACUAUUUCCACAACCGGCAGUCAUGAGACUAAUUCUUCGUUCCACUGUCAGUGCACUAAGCGGUAGGGAACUGGCUAAAGAGUUUUCUCUGUUCACCAGGGAUGGGAAUCGAACCUCCAACCUCUUGCUUAAGGGGUGAGGUGCUGAACCACCACACCAACCCUUGUGGUUAAUGAUUUUCAUUUUCAAGAUAAAUACAGAUAGUAGCAACGUGGAAAUUUACAAUUCAAUUUCAAGAUCCAAAAUAUUAUUUCAAAUCUCGAGUAAUAACUUUGAAUUCUCAAUUUUAAUUAUUAUUUUAUUAUCAUUAUUAAUUAAAGUGAAUGGAGUACAUCAUGAAUUAGGAAAAAGUCUUCUUUCUUGAGAAAUUUCUAACUUUAAUAUGUGUGUCCCCUCCCUAUUUUCCUAGCUUGUUGCUUUCUAUCAUUUACAAAAUGGGUUGGCAAAUUUGUUUGGUUUUAUUUAGGAUAAAAGUGAGUCACAAAGUAAUACUAUAAUUUAACAAUGUAGGUAGAAGGUAGAUAAGGAUGUGGUGCAGUGAAUGGGGUUGCUCCUUCCUUAAUUAGAGGUUUCGGAUUCGAGUCCUGAGUAUGGUAGAAUCCUUGAUAGGGAGCGUUUUCUCCUGAAUGGAGCCCUACGCGGCGCGAAUCCGAAUUAAUCAAACUCUAAUACGAAUACCGAACACUGAAUUGAAAAAAAAGAAGGUAGAUAAUGUUAUAUUUAGUCUAUAUCAAGUAAAUUUUGUGAAUAAUUAAGCAAUAUAGGUAAAAUUUGUUCAUGUGGUAAAACUUAUAUAUACUUUAACAAAAUAGGUAGAAUAAAAUAGUAUCAAGUUUUAUUUAUCUAUCAAAAUUUGUGAAUAAUUAAACAACAAUAAUAAAAUUAUUUGUGAGUUUGAUCAUAUUGAGACCACCAGAGAUUGAUGAAAACAUCCUAUCACCUAAUCUUAUCAUCAAAAUUUAUCUUAUUAUUAGCUACUUAUUCACCAAAAAGAUACUACUUUCUUAAUAAAUUCUUAUUAUAAAAUUACUUGAGCCACCUAACAUUAUUCCACCUAAUUAAAUUAUCAUCAAAAGACAUAAAUAUAAAGUGGCCUAAAACACACUUGCUUUUGUUCCAUACUUUUUCAUCUUUUUGCCUCUUCCCUUCAUCUUAAGCAAACAAUUUCCACUUCAUUCCUUAAUUCUUUUUUUUUUUCUUCCACUUCUUUCUACAAUAUUUUGGGAGAAAAAAAAUUGUCUAUCUUUCUCCCCAAAAUAAAAAAUAAAUUCUACUUCAUUUCCUUAAUAUCCCUUGGUUGAUUUUUUGUUUUGUAUAAGGAAAAUAAAGAAGGAAAUUACAAGGUAAAAAAAUUAGAUCUUCAUUAAUAUAAUAAAAAUUCAGCUAACUAAUUGAGCUCCUAAAAUUCGUUAAACAAAUAAUUUCUCUUUUUUCCUUCUUUAGAAAAGGAAAACAAUCAUCAUACCCUUUGUCAUUUUCCCUAUUUUGUUUCCUUUUUUUUUGAGUUUCUCAUCUGAUGUUCGAUAUUUAUAUUAAAAUCUGAUUAAUUUAAAUUGUAUCAAAUAAGAUUCCAUUCAAAAAUAGUGUUCUCUAAUCUCUAUAAAAAAAAUUCAUAUUCAAAACUCAAAUCCGAGAUCUUUACUUAAGAAAGUAGUAGUCUGAUCAUCCAUGCACUACAACACAUGCAUACUUUGUUUAUUCCUUUGUAUGUUUCUCUAAAAGGACCCCCCAUAAACUCAAAACCUCUACUUCAUUUUCUUAAUACACCUUUUUUCUCAUUUUUCCUCUUCUUUUUUUCCCUUCCUUUUCUCCCACAACUCAAAAAAAAAAAAAAAAAACAUGUGUUCAAAAUUCACACAACUACUAUACUUUCUUCCACUUGUAAUAUUACUCCUCAACUUUCCUUCAAGAAUCAUAAGCCAAGAGUGUGCUUAUCCAUGUUAUCCACCACCAACUGGCCCUACUGGAAACAACCCUCCACCAGCAACCACCACCCCACCCACCCCACCUACUCCACCCCAAGGAGGGUAUGUCCCAAACACCCCACCCACCCCACAAGGUGGUGGUUAUGACCCAUAUCUUAACCCACCACCUGAUUUUGUUAAUGGUAUAGCACCACCACCACUAGAACCAAUUGUGCCUUGGUUUCCUUAUUAUUAUAGAAAGCCUCCUCACUCCGAUCAAGUUUCAUCAUCAUCAUCAAGAAUAACCAGCUGGAAGAACAUCAUGAUGAUUGUUACUAGUACUGCUCUCUCUGUGAUUUUGCUUUUUUAGCAGGUUUUUUAAAUGUUUAUGAGUGAACUUUUGAUGUAAUUAAUAGUAGACAAAAGUUGUUGUUAGGAUUUUUAAUGUCUCAUUAGUUAUCAUCAGUUUCAUUUUCUACUCUUGUGUAUUGAUUUUUAUGUGAAUGGAGUUCCUCUCUUUCUUGAUUAUGAUGUGCAGAAAAAGGUUAACUCUUUUUUUUUUUUUUAAUAACAAAUGGAUGAAUUAUUUUGUUUUCACACAAAAGUGAAAUUUUGAUGGAGCGGUAAAUAUUAUUACUUUUUUUUAAUUACAGGUUUUGAGCUUAAAUUUUAAAAAAAUAUAAUUAUUUUUGAGAUGGAUUGUGAGCUUUAAUUUUUUUAAUGUAACGAUCAAUUAAUAUGAGAGGGAGGAAGGUAAUUAGUUUGUGUUCUCCAUCGUUUUUCAUUUAUUGUAUUUUUCCUAAAAAACUUAAUUCUACUUGAUGAUAUAUUUUUUUUUGUGUUGUAUUUACUAUAAGGAGGAAUAUUCUGGAUCCUUUACACAUACAAAUAUUUGGACCCUUCUAGUAAUUAAUGAGGUCAAUAUAGGCUGCUUCUCUCUUUUUUCUUUGUAUAACUAUUAUUAGUUAUUACUAUAACAUAUAUUACACAUUGGCGUGAUUAAUUUGAAUACAUUCUAGAUGAGAAAACAUUUUUGAUAACAUCCAAGUCGAGCACAAAAUAAUAAAAUAAAUUUUGUGAUCGAUUUUUUUAGAUAAAGCUUUUUUUUUUUCUUAAAUAAACUUUUUGAUUCUCAAAUUUAGACUCGACAUCUUUGAUUAAUAACACAUGAAUCUCAUCAAUCUUAUUGCAUUUUUUUUUGUUGGUUGUGAUAGUGAAAAUAUGAGGUUAUACAAAAUCAUAACAACCACCUAAUUUUGAUCUCUCUUUUGAACAAGUAGCUUCUCCUUUCUCAUCAUUUUUUCUUUUAUGAUAGCCAACUUUUUCCUUUUUUAUUUCUCCAAUCACACCACCAUUUUGUUGUUUUUUCUCUCUUUUUUCUUGGAAUGUCUAUGGAAAAUGAUUUUUUUUUCUCUAAAAGGUAAGGGUAAUGUUGCAUUAAUUUUAUUCUUUUUAAACAUCACUUACGAAAUCAUACUGAAUAUAUUGUUGUUGUUAUUCUUUUUCCUUUUAAAUCUCUCCGACGACACCAUUUUUUUUUCUUUUUCACCUUUUUCUUGGAAUGUCUAUUGAAAAUGGUUUUUUUAUCUCUAAAUGGUAAAAGUAAAGCUGCAUACUUUUUAUUCUUUCCAAACAUUGCUUAUGAAAUCAUACUGAAUAUGUUGUUUUUUGGUUUAUUUUGUGAUUUGUUUAGGUGCAAGAACUAAGGACAAGUAACCUUCUACAAUAUAUUAAAUUAUAUAAUUUCAUUUAACACAAUUAAUAGAUGAAAGUUGAACCAUUUUUAAAAAUAAAAUAUAACUUAUAUACAUUGACAGUCAACCAUUUUUAAUUUCUUUCCCUUUUCUCCUCUCUGUAAUGAGAAGUGGGAAAUUAAUGGAUGAAAAAAAAUAAACACAAAUUAACAGGCAGGCUGUGAGUGAUUUAUAUUGGCCAUUUAAAGAGAGUGAUAUUUUGUUUGGUAGCUUAAGAUGUUAAAAGGUCACAAUCAUAUAACAUAUUUGAUAUUUUUUCUCUAUGAUUUGUAAUUAACUAAAGACUUCGACAGAUUAGCAAGUAUAUUAUGAUGUUAAUAUCAAAUUAUGGCAUGAAUUGAUUCGAUGAUUUGUAUGUGAUGGUGACUCUUAUGUAAUUAAGUGAUCAAAAUAAGUUAAUAGAAUAUUAUAAAGUACAUGUAUUUAUUUAAUUAGAAGAAAUGAAAUGAUUGGCUGUGCUUUAGUGAUUAAUCUUUAUGAGAGAUACAAAUCAACUACCAACAAUGGUGGUCUUAUUAUUCUAAGGGAUCGUUUGGUAGAAAAAUAAGUUAUAUAAGGAUUAGUAAUACAGGAAUUACUAAUGCAUGGAUUAUUUUUUUAUCAAGCGUUUGAUUCAUUGUGUUAAAAACUAGAUAUACCAUGGAUUAUGGUUGGUUUAAUAUUCUACAAAUAUCUUUUUUACAUUUUUAUCCUUGAUCUUUUUGUGGAUUUUCUAUUUCAUUUAACUUGAUAUCUUAAAAAUUAAAAUAUGAAUAGUUCAAGUGCUUAAAGUGCAUAGACCCCUCGUCAAAUAAUUUAUGGACGUCUAUCACAUCAUGAAAUGAGACAUUAUCAUUCAAACAAUUGUUGGAACCUCAUAUACCCUUUUCUUUUAAUCUGCCACUGUCCAUCUUUGAAGUCAUUUGUUUUGGGUUUUUUUUCGGUCAAGUGUAAUUUUAUUACAUUUAACUAAUUCUUCAACGAAACAAACAUACGAAAUGUAUGGCUGGCAUGUCCUGCUUGAUGCAUCAGCAUUGGGUCCUAAAGACAUGAAAACAUUAGGCCUAUCGAUCUUUCAGCCUGAUUUUCUUAUUUGCCAUCCAUCAGAAACACUUAACACUUCAAAUUAAAGUGAGAACAUAUAUCGCGUAAAAGAUGUGUAAGUGAUGAAGGAAAAAUAGUUGAAUCAUAAUCGCGCAAGGUAGGUUGCAUACAUCAUACCCUUCUCAAAAUGCAGCGCUACGAUGUAUCCUGCGUGAAUGAAAGAUGCUUCUGCACCGACCGAGAGCAGCAAGAAGUUUCUUCAGCUCGGGCAUACACUACGAAUAACACUUAUCUGCACUAGAUAGAUAUUUAUACGAAACCAACCAUCUAACUUUAAUGCUUCAAAUUAAAAUGAGAACAUAUAUCGCGUAAAACAUGUGUAAGUGAUGGAAGGAAAAAUAGUUGAAUCAUAAUCGCACUAGAGUAGGUUGCCUACAUCAUACUCUCCGUAAUCACCAAAAUUUGUGAAGGUAAACUGAAUAAGACCUCCCAAAAAUUUAGAUGUCCACGAGCCGUGAUGAACAGAGUUACCCGGUACCUCUACUAAUCCUGUAGAAUUACUCGAGGCGCGUGCAUGAACACUUUAGUAGAAUUACUCGAGGAGUAACUUUACCCUCUUACUAAGAUCCUUCAUAACAUCUACAAUGAGUGACUUCUUUUGUAUUCUGAACUGGAGAGCUAACACAGUAGUAGGAGAAACAUUUUGCUUCAGCGAUUACACACAAUGCUACAACAGUGCGAACUUAGGCAUAGAAAGCAAUAACCUUGUUCGCACCUACAUAGCUAUCGAGUGUGUCCUGUAAAGGAACUUGUGCAAUUGGAUUCAACUGGAAGAACUUGGUUGUUUUGUUUGAGACACUCAAUAGUCAAUACCAAAUUCCUAUCGAGUUCAACAUGUACCAUAGCAUACUCUACAACAGGAAGUGUCGUGAAGGCAAUGUCCUGUGCAUCUGGUAAGUGUGAAAAAGGAGUCAUGGCUUUAGACUUUGGAAUAUAAUGAAAUGCUAAAGCUGAACGGUCAUAAGCUCUAAAUAUAGAGAGUCAGAAUAAAAGCCUCUUCAAACUCUAGUACGAAAACGAGAUCAGCAAUAACCGCAACAUAAUUCUCUCCAAAUUAUUCUGUGCAAGUCUUCUACUGUCCCCAAUAAUGAACUUCUAGCAUAAUAUUGAAAUGGGACCUUUCAAUCAGUCCCAAAACUUAAGCAAAUACACCAACUGACAAAAGAUAUACUAUGCAAACUUAAUAAUUACAUUUACAUACAUCAUUUGAGUUUAUCACCAGUGCCACCACAUUCAAGUUUUUCCGUAGAUGCUAGUUAUACAAAAACUAUGAUCCUUGAGCCCAUACACCAAGCGUAGUCAUAGACAAGAUAGGACGUACUCCGACGUAUCAAAAAAAUCACACUACAAUUAACCUUCGGAGGUUUUCAGUUAAGCAAAAACUAUCAAAAUAGAGCCAUCACUUAUACACACAUCUACCAAACUCUAAAAAUUAUCAUUGAUAAUCAUAAACAUCAUCGUCUGACGUUCAAGUUCACCCAUACGAAUGAACAAUUCCAUCUUUUUGACAUCAUCACAAAGGACCAUUGUUGCUUUGAUGCGUUGCUCGGUUGAGUACAACUCAAAUAUGGGAGACUCAAUGAUGGAAUAAAUUUGACUACGAAGAUCGGAUUUCAUUCGUUUGUGUAAAACCUUUUAUAACCUCCAUCAUACCUUUAAGAAAUGUCUCAUUAUCAUUCUCCAAGCUUUUUUUCCUUUUCUUGCAUUUCUCCUUUUCAUUGACAUUAGAUGACCUUCUAGUGUACUCAUCUUGUUUGUUGGCUUGUUGGGAUCCAGCUUCAAAUGCUCCAGCAUUUUCAUUUUCAGAUGCUCCAGUAAAUGCAGUAGGUCCAGUAUCAUUUUCAGGUUCUCCAGUAGCUGCAUUUGGUUUAUGGCUAGCAUCUUCCUCUUCAUCUCCAUCCACAUCAAUAGGAAAUCCCAAAGUCAUGACAUUAAAAAGUUCUGGACAUUGAUUCCUUUGAAUUUCCUCAGCGGCAUCUAGCGGUCCUUUGGCAAACUCUCCCGUUGCUCUAUCCUUUCCAAAGAUUUCCUCCCAAUCCUCAAACAUCGGCCAUUUUUUGGUGUUCAUAUUCUUGGCAUUUGGAUCAAUCUAGAAAAUAAUCAUUAAGAAAAUGCCAAAGUAAUGUAAUAUUAUUCAGUUAACUCACUCAAAAAACAUAUAUAAAGACAAAACUCACUUCAUGGACAACUAAGAAGAACUCUUACAUUAGGAAAGUAUAAUUUGUGUAAUCUGUUAUCUUUGAAAAAUCAAGUUUAUUCGGCACAACAUUUCACUAUUCCAGGUUAUUAAUGCUCAUUAUAAGAGAUAUGCUUGGACCGAUACUAAUACUAUAUCAAGAAAUAUUUUUGAUGGCCCGAGGCAGGGUGUGCACUCCCAAAACUGUAGGUGGCUUGAGCCUCAUCAACAUUCAACUAUAAAAUAAGAUAGCUACAGCUAAGACUUUCUGGAAUUGAGAGAAUAAGUUAUGGAUUUGAUGAAUUCACUCCUAUUAAAUAGCUUUUAAAGUUGAGACUGCAACAAUUCAUUUUCUAGAUUUCAACAGCUUUUAAAGUUGAGAUUUGAUAGUUGUCUAUAUUUACUACACAGCAGAUUAUGUAAAGCUAGCUAUAGCUAUGUAAUGCAUUACAGGUGAUCAAUGCCAAAGUUAACUGUAAAAAAAGAAGCAGCAACACACAUAUAUAAAGUAACGAAAUUAAAAUAACUUGAAGUAAAGCAUUGAUUACCUUUAGGAAGUCAUCCCAAAAUUUUGGAUCAUCAACUAUUAUAGCUCCAUCACUAUACUGAAAUCCCAAACCACUUUGGCUCUUUAGCAUAGCUAUACUCGCAUAACAUCUCUUCCAAUGCCUUAUUUUAGAUACGAUACGUGGUUCAGCUUUUAAUCCACUGUUAGGAUGAUGUUUACGCAAAUAACAUUCCAACUCCUUCAGGUAUCCCGGCCUAAAAGUUCUAUUAUCACCUCUCCAGCCAUUAGCACACAACUCUUUUAACCCAUCUAUAAGAGUUUGUUCUUCCUGUGCAGUCCAUGUCCUUCGAGUCGAAGGAGUUGAAUUGCUCGAUCUUUUUGAUGCGUUGUUUGAAGAUGUUUGGCUAUUCAUUGUCUUUAUAUUCUUGUGGAAUAGAUUAUCAACAAAAAUCAGAAAGAUUAUAAUCACUGUACACACAUUAAAUAGUUGAGGAAGUAUAUAACCUUCACCUAAAGUAAGACUAAUUUGAAAACACUUGAUACAAAAAAUAAAAUGCAUGAGAUAAAACAUAUAAAAGCACAUAAUUAUCCAGGGAAUUCAUCUCUACUCUAACGAUCUUGUUAGUGAUUAUAUCAUAUGUUGCUCAAACUCUUCAAAAAUGUUAUCGGGUGUGUGUAGGAUACUUUUGAAGGAUCCAACACAAGAGCUGCAACAUUUUUGAAGAGUCCAAGAAACAUGAAAUUAUUUAUAUCAAUUAAUAGGGACUAGAAUAUCUCUAAGAUUCAGGGCAAUUUAACUCUAUAAUUGAUUCAAAAUAUUCUGAAUAUUCUUAUUGACGACAGAAAUCAAAGCGAUUAUAUGAUUUGGACUUUCAGUGAAGAUGAUCACUACUCCAACAGAAGCAUGGAACCUCAUAAGAGAAACAUGAUAAAGGACCUCAAACACUAGCAAAGUUUGGCAUAGCAUGUUACCAUUUAAAAUGUCUUUCAUCUUUUGGAGACUUUUACUUGGUAAACUGCUUAUGGGUAAUACUAUGAAUAGAUUUAUCACUAAUAUACCCUCUGUUUGUAGAUGUUGCUCCAACCCCCAUCGGGAGACUCCACAACAUGUAUUUAUUGAUGGGAAAACUGCCAGGAUUACCUGAAAACACUUUGCUUGUUCUUUCGAUAUUUUGCAGUCUAUAGAUAUCAUUGGACAGGUUACUCAAGCACAAUUUUGCAGAUUACACCUGUAGCAAUCAUAUGACAUAUAUGGAGGGGCUACUGUGCUUGCAUUUAUGGUGAUUAGAAACAAAUGGGCCAAGUAAGAAUUGCAUAUCAAGUUGAAUGAAACAUCAAGACUACCAUACACAAGUUUCUGCCACAAAUUAUCUUAAGCAUCUCUUGAAGCAAUUUUUGUGAUCUAAAUAAUAGACCAUUUCAUAGUAGCAUAUUCCAAAAGAUUAAUUCAAGUGUAAAAUGGAAUCAAGAUUCCCAAUUAAUUAACUAGCGUGAGAUCUCUAAAACAGAAGAGUCAUUUUAACUCCUGAUGCAGACCUUAAAAGUCAAAAUUAACUAAAUCGAUCACAAAAAAUAAAUAUAAGGUGUCAUCACUAAUUAGAUCUUGCAUUCCACAUUGAUUGCGCCAACUCAUCCCUCCAAUUGGUCCACUCUUCAGAUGAUUCAACAACAUUAAUGUUUUCUUGUUGAUCCUCCAUUUGUUCUUCCAUAUUCAUGUCUAAAGGAUCCACUUCCAUUUCUCUACGGAUAAAGUUGUGAAUCAAACAACAAGCACUUAUGAUCCUGUUAUGAACUUUAACUGAGUACCAUGAAGAGCUUCUAAGAAUUCCCCAAUGCCCUUUCAAUAAACUAAAUGCUCCUUCAAUAACAUUACGAGCCCUAGCAUGCUUCAUAUUAAAAAGUUCUUCACGACAUCGAGGUGGUGGAUUAUCACCUUGCCAAUCCCUUAACCAAUAUCUAUACCCUCUGUAAGGCGAAAGAAAACCUUUUCCAUUUCUAUAUCCUCCAUCGCACAAAUAAUAGUUACCUAUAAUAUAAACAUAAGGUUUUGUUAUUUUUAUAUAUCAUUCUUUUCCUGUAUAGUUACCUACUCAAAAACUAAAAUACAUUAUUUUCUUUCUUGUAAUAUGAAUAUAUAAGUACAUAACAUACCCUGCGGAAUUUUCAAACCAUUAUGUCGCACUAUUGCAUCUUGUAAUACACGACCAUCAGCAGCGGAUCCUUCCCAACCAGGUAAAACAUAAGUAAAGUUGAGAUUUCUAUUACAAACUCCCAAUACAUUAGUUGCUAUAUCUCCCUUCCAUGUCCUGUAUCUUGGUUUGUACUCAGAUGGGACUCUAAUGUGAAUGUAAGUACCAUCUAGUGCACCUAAACAACCCUAUAAAAAAUAUAGAGAGUUAUCUCACACUAUAGUAAUUCCUUGAUAAAGCUAUAUUAUUUAGUUUUAUACAGAUGCUUAAAUGAAUUUCACCUACCUUAAAUCAUUUUCCAUCGAUCUUCUGUUUCAUCCUUAAGCACCGGUUUAGGAUUCACAAGUAACAAUGGAGUUAGUCUGAGUAUAGCUUUCAAACAUUCAUUAAAAGCUUGACUUACGCUCCAUCCAGAUCGAAUAUAAUCAAUCUUGAUAGAUCUAUUCUUCUCAUGAUGAGCCAAGAUGUUUAAGAACAUUGCUAGCUUCUCACUACUCGACAUAUAUUUACCAUCAGUCAAACCUCCGACAUUCUUAGUUAAUAGAACUAAAGUAUGAAAGGCAUUUCUAUCCAUUCUUAACUUAUCGAUACAUACAGUGUCACUGUCAUUUAUGAUACAAUUUAAGUGAGAAAUAGUUUUUGGAAUUCGAACAUUCAUACAGUACCUAAUCUCACGCCUAUUUUUAUAUCGUCUUCUUAGCGAAUGACCAUGAAUAGCCAUAAAAAGGCAAAUGAGGACGACAAGGAACUGUUGACAUAUUAUCUCCUCAAGAAUGAUAUAAUCAGUCUCAAAUAGUGGUUGAAGAUCGAUAAUAAUACCUAGUUUUGUCACAAAAUGGACAAAAUCAAUACAAAUAAUAUCAGCAAAAAUCUAGACAGAGAAUACUAAAAGACGCAAUGUUUCAAUACAGAGAAUACUAAUUUAGUUUCAAGAACAUAAAAUUUCAUUAGGGAACAAGACUAAAAGAAACAAAAAAUACCUUGAUAAAAGUUUUAACUUUGUAAGAAAAACAAAUAGUUAUAGAUUAAUGGACGGCUACACCUUCGGAGGUAGAGAGAGCCUAUUUGCAAUAGACAAUAAUGAUAUAUUUUAGUCUUUGAAACAUUUGAUCAAAGAGGGAUUCAGCAGUAAAAACAUUAGCAAGAAUGGUGCAAAAUAUUGACUACUAAUUGAACAGCAACUUUAACAUUUUACUCAUCAAGUAUGUUGAUCUUUAAUAGCACACCAUGCAUUUAUGGUAUUUCAAUAACUGGGCUUAAAGACAUUAUCUAUAUCCGAAACUAGGCAGAAUUAUAUGCAGCAUAUCUAACAGAAAUGCUAACAGCAUAUCUAACAUUAUCUACUCACUAAGUUUAUCGUCUCAAAUACGAGACCAAUCAUCGUUGCUAUGCUGAGAAUAUAAGAAGAUUCAAACCAACAGUAACAACUAAAUGACAUGACGUGUCUUAGAAGGCGUUGAAGCUGAUACGUCUAGUAAGCAACACCAACGGCUAAACGACCCACUCGUGUACUAUGGCUCAAAUCCACACUUCUAACAUCCUUUCUCAAUGCAUGGUUUCCUGUUCUUCGCGCAACAACCUUUGUUUUGUCUUCAGAUUUGAAGUCCUUGCUCCUCCUGAUAGAAUCUGAUGUCCUUGGUCUUGGAGAAUUCGUGACCUGCCUUUUCUCUUGAUCUCUCUUUGGAGCUACUGUUCUAUUUGAUUGGGUUUGUUUGGACGUUUUGCUUGUUGGAGCUGAAGGCGGCACGCUGCUGUCUGAUAACUCUGCUGAAGGAUGAACGGUUGCUUCUGAAACCUGUGGUGAGUCGGACACAUUUAGACGUUCAUUAGUGGAACAUCUGUUAUAAACUUCUGCCCUUGAACGACGAACAGUGUUGUCUGUUGCACUAGUAGCUCUAGCUCCUGCAGUCGAAGGCCUGCUUUGCAAUUUGCUUGAUUUAGUUUUACUUGCUGACUCCUGAAAAAGUAAUCAAAAAGGAAGUUAUAUUACUAGGUCGUCGGAGUGAGAGGGAAAAAUAAUCACUUCAGAGGAGGAUAAGGAUGAAGACUAAGAGAGUUUAAGUAAAUGGCCCGACAGAUAAUUAGCAACGCGUUUUUUUUCCUGUUGCAGUAGGAUCACAAGAUUUAUGUAACUGGAUAGCUAAAGAUGGAAGGUUAUCAACGUCACUGGCUUCUCAUAGUACUCGCAUGACAAGAAAGGGUAAUAGCACUAUGUAUUCAGAUUUCAGCUUUGAAAGAAUGUUAGUAAGUCGAAGUUUCAUACGCAUCAAAGUUCCCAACCAUGCCAUUGCAUAUAACCAAAUUAACUUUGAACAAACCUGUUCCUAGCGUAGACCUUUAUCACCUAGACCAACGAGAUUGACACUAAAAAGGACCCCAAGGAAGUAUGCUGCAUAACACCCAUAACUAAUAUCACUGAAUGGGCCCUAAAGUAUAUCAUAAUAGGAGGACCAAGGUACAAGAUGAUCUAUUCUGUCCUUUAGUGUCGAUCUUUCCCUUGAUCAAAGGAUAGCGAGAUAGAACUUCUCUAUUCUCUAUUCUUUUUUAUUGGUUCAAAUUUUUAGAAAGGUGAAGUCGCUUGUCCAAGAAAGGGGAUUUGAGUCAUAAAAUGACAGGAGAGUGCUACCAUAAACCAGUAGAACAGCUUGUAAACAUAUCUACAAACAAGCUUUACUUUCAUGUGAGAACAGUAGGCUAAGUGCACGGAUUUGAUGUUACCGAGUUUCAAACACCGGAAAACAGAAAAUAACAGAAGAAAUAGGAAGAUACUUGUGAAAGGUCAAAAUUUGGCGAUCUGAAUUCUCAUUAUUUGAGACCUGUUAUGAUACCUUGUCUUUUUCUGCGCGGCGACCAGGUUCACGGUAGAAGGAAGGCAUGGGAGUUGCUUUGAAAUUGAGAUUUCUCCGUAGCUGUUUGAUCUCUGCUUCUUUCUUUUCCUGAACAUAUCACAAAGUAAAACACAGUCAUUAUUUCCUUGUCAUCUAACUCUUGUCGAUGAUAUUUUACACUCCCUCGGUUUCAAUUUGUUUUACUUUCCUUGUUAGUCCGUUUCAAAAAGAUUGCAUCUUCCCUUUUUUGGCAACACUUUAAUUCCAAAUUUCCACAUGACACAAUUAAGACCACACGAUAUAUUCCACGACUUUAAAGAGCUAACAUUCGACAAUUAGCAGCCUAUGAUUCUCCAUAUUAAUUUGGACCUGUUUCCGUUAGUCAAGAGAAUCAGACCCCGGGUUUAUUACCUGGGUUCGUGCUUGGAGCUGAUGCAUUUCUUCCUCUUUGGCAUGCACUUUCUCCUCUAGCUUCAUAAAGAACUGAAAUCAAUAUCAAAAACUUCUUUUAGGUUUUAUACGGCGUUUGAACUUUAUCAAGUAGACACAAGAAAUUGGUCCUUGCCUCUUUCCUUUUCAUGGCCCGCUCUUCACUUUUGAAAUGGAAACUAGAUCCAUUCUGUUUCACACCUGGUUGAAAUGAAUUCACACUCUCCUUAUCCCUGUACAACAAUAAUAUGUCUAAGAUAUAUGUUUAUGAACACAAUAUGGAGUUAAAGCUCAAAAUUUUUCCACGAUAUAUACCUGCUUACACUUUGAUAUAAUCUAUGGCUAACUUUCUUUGUACAGGAAGAACGAGAAGCGACAACCUUUCUUGAUAUUGCCUGUUGUUCAGUGCUAUAUCAUUCAACAAUAAACGAGAUUAGGAAAAUUAGGAUGAAUCAGUGCCACCAAAAUAUCCCACAUUUUCAACAUGGAAGACAUGAUUAAGGAGCAUACCUUUUAUGUUGAUUAAGUACAUUAGAUUUUGAACCCGAAGAAACCUGUAUAAAGCAAGUUGUCUGUUACCAUGAAUUCAAUAAUCAUUUUAAGAAUUACUGAAGAACAAUCUGACUAAAAAGAAAGUUAUGUAAUAGUUCGACAGCAUUGAAAUAGCACAUUUACUCAUCUGCAUUGAAAUUUGAAGAUAACACUAAGCCUAAACCUGAUACAAACCUCUGGUUUUGGCAUUCGGGCAGUUGGACGCAAAAGAGUGCCAGAAGCGUUCAAUCUGGGCUUUUCUCUUUUUUGUGUCAAAGAAACAUCACUGUGCCUUCUAUUUGGUUUUCUUGGCAUGUCUUUGUAUGCUUGAUUUGAGAUUGUCCCCUUGACACUAGCAACAUUAACUUGGGACAACAUUCUGGAUUUCGUAUCUCUAGAUUGAGAUGCAGUCCUCACCUGCAUUUUAGGCACAAGAUGGACUACAUAAAGGGGCGCAAAUUUUCUGAACUCGAAUAAGACUACAAUGUUAUUAUUUAAAAUAGCUUACUACAGCAGCAAGCAAGAUGGUUAACUGCUGUAAUAAUAAAAGAUUAAUGGUCACAAAUGCUACAAGAGGUGCACCUUCGAAGAUGAACUUCGCCGAGGUUUUGAACUAACAGUGCCAUCUUUCUCAGUGGUGUGAGCAUUAGAGGAUAGAUCAACAGAGUUUGAUGAGAACUCGAUACUACUAUCUUGGCCCACUAAUUUCUCUUUCACUUCAAUUGUAGGUUUAGGAUCAUUAAAAGCUGCAUUUCCAGCAUUGAGAUUAAAUUUUGCUUCAGCUUCCAGAUGUUUAAGAACACUUUGAAGGACAUCUGAACUACAGGUAUAUUGUUCAGUCAGACGUCCAGAAUGGGAAAUUAUAUUAUCUUCGCUGCCACAUUCUGUGCCUUCAAUGUCUCCGUUGCUUGAUCCUUCUCUGCCACAUUUUGUGACUUCGAUGUCUCCAUUGCUUGAUCCUUCUCUGCCACAUUCUGUGACUUCGAUGUCUCCGUUGUUUGAUCCAUCAAAACUCUCCUCAAAGCGUGCAGAAUCACCAACCUCAUUCACUCGCUCGAAAUCUCCACCAUAGCCUGUGUUCUCGGAUUGAUACUUUCCAUUCUUCGAUAAGCGGGUUGAUCUACCAUGAUUUUCAUCAAAACGUGCAGAAUGGACAACUUCAUUAACAUGCUCCAAGUGCUCCGCAUAGCCUUCAUUUUUACUAGCUUGAUACUCUCCAUUCUCCAAUAAAGUGGCUGCUCUGUCAUGAUUUUCAACAAAGCGUGUAGAAUGGCCAAUCUCAUUAACAUGCUCAAAGUCUCCCUCAUAAUCUGUAUUCUCAGGUCCAUCAUAACUAGCUUGAGAAUCAGCCCCAUUCUGGCAGUCGGAUGAACUCUGGCUUAGAAGUGCCCUCCUUCUAAAACGCUCCUCAAAAUAUGCCUUUUUCUCAGUUACAGAACCUGGCUUGGAGCAUUUCUCAACCUCUUCAAGAUACUUGUUGUGUGUGAAAGAAGACCUCCUCUCCCAACAUAAAGCUUCAUUCUCAAAUCUACCGAAUGAGAUAGAUCCAGAUUGCCACGAAUCUGCCUGUCAAUUUUGGUAAGUAAAUUAAGAUCAGGUAGUAGAACCGAGUGAUCAUAUAUUACGUAAAAGAGCCACAUAGAUUUAGUUCUCAUGGAAAAUCUUCAUUUCCCCUGAUGGUUUAUUUAGAAUGUCUCAAGUAGUAUAUCCUAACAUGCUUAAACAGCCAAUCUUAUGAAAACGGAACUCUCAAAAUCUUUUCAACUAUAAGUUCAUCGUAACAAAGCCUCAAUCAAUGAGCAAGUAUGUUUCCCACAUAAAAAAACAUUUUUUAAUCAUGCACUGGAGUCUGGAGGUGAUUCGGAUGAACCCCUCCGUCCUUCCUGGCUCUGCCCCAAUCUCAGCAUUUAAUAUAUGAUCUCAUGGAAGUGUUAUGGAUCCAUAACUAAGAAAUCUACACACGUUAACAUGGGGAGGACAAAGAGAAUGCUUCUCAAUCACUCUAGCAGCGCUAUUGUACAAGGACGCUACAUACACAUUUUCUAACCAAAAGCAAGAUCUUGCAACCACAAAGCAUUCCUCAUUUAAGUAAGCAGAGGAAUGGAGAGAUGUGAAAAGCAAGAAUUCUCAUUUUCAAGUCAAUAAAACAACAAAGAAACUAGUAGAAAAUCCAGUAACCGCUUCUAACCGCUUAGAAAGGGGUCCAAAUUCAAUUCACAAAACUAAAUUACAUACAUUAAGCACCUAGAACAUAUAAAAUGGAUACUGAAAUGCAAUCUCCUGAAUUACCAAUCUACCAAUGAACAUAAAGAUUCAACCUUUUCUCUUCCCAAUUAACUAAAGAAUAAGAACAACAAUUUUUCUACUAAAUCCAGCAGCAACAGCUAAGAGAGCAAUACAUUCGAGAACAAAAAAAAUUAACCAAAGAAAAGCAUAUGAAAAUGACAGUAAAAACUUUACCUGGAAACUAAGCCUAAAUGGUUCUUCAAUAUCACCUGCCAUUUCAAAACUGUUCCUUUUCUAAAGCACCUCCAUAGAUAUCAUCUGCAUUUCCCAAAAACAAAAUCUUAAAAUUCUGGCCAAAAAAAAAAAAAAACAACAAAAAACCAAACACCCCAUCACUUAAAAAUAGAAUCUUUUUACUAUUCCAUACAUAAACAUCAUCAAAAAUGGACCAAAAUGAAAUUUUACAGACAACAAAAUAAUAAAAUUCUAAAAAAUUCAUCACAGAAAAAAAUCAAACACCCCAUCACUUAAAAAUGGAAUCUUUUCACUAUUGCGUACAUAAACAUCAUCCAAAUGAACCAUAAAAAAAAAAGAGUAUUUUCACUAUUCCAUACAUAAAAAUCAUGAAAAUGGACCAAAAAUUUCAUUCUACAGAUAAAAAAGAGCAAAAAAAUUACAGUUUUUAAAGGAAAAAAAUCUUAAAAUUCUGAAAAUGCAUCACAUAAAAAUAUUCUAAACGAAAAAAAUCAAUCACCCCAUCACUUAAAAAUUCAAUUUUUUCAGUAUUUCGUACACAAACAUCAUCAAAAUGGACCAAAAAUGAAGUUUAACAUAUAAAAAAAGCAAGAAAAUUACAAUUUUUAAAGGAAGAAAAUGAUAGAAUCUUGAAAAGGGUUGUAAAAGAAGCAAAAUUGAGACAAGGAAACUUGUUUGGAGUAGAGAAGAAUCACUACUUUGCUUAGAAGAAUGGGAGUAAUUUUUAAUGAGAAGGACAAUGGAGUGAACAUGAAAGUUUGAAAUUUUGUCUAAUUGAAUUUUGUAUUUAUGGAAAUGAUUAGAUUUUGGUUUAAAUAAUUAAGUAGAUCUUAAACUAAAAUGAAUUGCAUUUACAUCCUUCUAGUUUGAUAACAUUGUAAGAAAGGACCAAUUAGUUUGUAAAUCCGACCUACCUUCCUUUUAUUUCGCUCCCGCUUGAUUAUAGAUUUUGAAAUUUAAAUUUUUAAAAUUUAAAAUUAUGUUUGAAUUUGAAAAUUAGAUUUUUAAAAUUUGAUUAAUUUUUAUGGUUAAAUAUAUAUUGUUCAUACAUUUUAGAAUUGAAAAUUUAAAUUUUUAAAUCUAAAGUUGUAUUGAAUUUGAAAAUAUUUGAAGAUCAGAUUUUCAUAAUCUGAUCAAACUUUAUGAUCAAAUAUAUAUUAAUUUGAUGAUAUAUUUUAAAAAUUCUUUUCUAAAUCUCUAGUCAAAUGGUAGCUUGGUUUUGCAUUAUAAUAUACGAAUACCUUUGCUCACUUAUUUAUUUUUAAAAAUUUAUUUAUUUCUAAAUACCUUUGCUCGCUUAUUUAAAAAAAAAAAUUAUUCAUUUCUAGAAAAGAGUUAGAUCAAGGAAGGCAAUUUUAAUUCAUCUUUUUAUAUUUUGCUUCUCCUUCUAUUCUUAGUUCAGCCUUAACACAAUUUAUAGUUUAAUUGUAUAUCUUUGAUUACGUAGUUAUCUGUCUAAUUUAUUUUUGUUACCCAAAAAUAAGUGAAGGAAAAUGGCAAUAGCGUAAAUUGAAGCUAUAAAAUUUCCUUUUGUUUGAACUUUCAUGUUCAGUUAUCCCUAUUUUCUUACUAGUAUAUUCUAAAAUUUAAAUUAAACUAAUUUUGACGUGUAUUUAUAGUUAAGGAAAUUUUCACAAUAUAUCUAAACUUCAGAAUUCUUAACAAGAUUUUUCAUUCUUAAAUUUCAUGUAAAAUCUAAUAUUAUUACAAUUCAAAAUGUGCAAUUUAUGAAAAAGCUUUAUGAUCCAGUGCCUAUGGAGUACAUGAGCAAUCAUGUGCUUGUGUUCCCCUUUUUGUCUACUUCUGUUGAUUGGCCCACUUAAACUGGGUCCCACUAAUACCAACCCCACCUAAUCAUUGUGAUCUGACCCUUGGAUCUUCUUGAUCGGACGGUCAGGAAUUAGUUCAGACCCUUCCACGUGUCUUUUCAUUGUUAUUACAAGUUAUUACAUUCGUUAUAAAAAAAAAAAGGAAUUAACCUAAAUAAUCGUUCGUCAAACCAUUUACGUUCAAAAAUGGCCAUUUUAUAUCUAAUACGAGAGGAAUUAUUACACAAUUAAUGUCAGUGGCAUGAAGCUACCGUAUGCUGAAUUAUAAUCGUAGUGCCUCUAAAUCAAAAUUCGAAAUAGUAGCAACACAUGCGCCUGUAGUUCGCUUGUCGAGAUGACGUGUCGUUGACUAAGUCAUCGUGAUGGAAGAGUCAUCACUGUGAUCGCCUUGAAGUAUCUGAUUUUCAUCAAAUGAUAAAUUUGUCAGAUAGUUUAAAUACGUGAUGAGUAUCGUUAAGUGAUAAAGUGUUCUAUUUUUUUAUUUUUUUUAAAAAAAGAUGGGAGGUAGGAAUAUAAUUGACUAAUUAGAUUUUGGGAUAAGAGGUGGGAAAUGAUGAAUCAUGUGAUUAAUAGCUUUUCUAUUGUGGAGCCAUUAUGUGGAUAAUAUAAAUUUGCCUUUUUUGAAAAAUUUUGCAAAAAGAUUUGCUCUUUAUUUAUUUUAGAUAUAAGUGCCAAAAGGAAAUAAAAAGUGGGGUUAUGUUAUGAUGUUGGGACAAAUAAAGAUGUUGAUUUGCAUUAUUGGAAAGAAUUAUUAGGAUAAUCUUUUGAGACAUAAAGGUUGAAUGCCAUUUUUAACAAUGUAUUUUCAAGUUUAUUUUAUGGGGGGAAAAGGGUGGGAGCCUAUGUAUCCAUUAAUUUUUAUAAUCCCUUUUAUUAAUACCUUUGUUAUACUUUUUUAUAUUAAAAAGGAUAAAGUAUGAUUUGUGAUAAUAACAAAGAACGAAAUAAGAUUAUCAAUUAAAGAAAGGGAUUAUAGUUGUGUAAUGUCAGACAUUACUUUUAAUCGAUCAAAAACGAAUUUAGAGUUUAAAUAUUAUAAGUUCGAUUUUGAAAUCAACGAUAACUCAUCUCUCAAAUUUUAUAGUAAUUUAAUUAGUAGUUCUUCACUUGUUCUAAUGCAUUUGGAAAUUUUAUUCAUGGUUCAUUUUCACUUGAUUUAAUUACUUUCUCGAAGGAGUUUUUACUAUUUACGCUUGCAUGUUAAUCAGAUUUUUGUAUGAAUAAUGACUUUUUUUAUAUUAUUUUUUUUUAUGUCGGUUAUGUAAAUUAAAGCUAACACGCUUAUAUUAUGAUAUGUGAUUUAUUAUUUGCGUAGCAUUAUAUUUAUGAUAGGUUAGAUUUCGUUAAACAAGAGGACCCUACCGAUAUCGACUUAUAGGCAUUGAUGGAAUUUAAUUAGUAACUCAUAUAUAGAGACAGCUCAUUUUGAUGAGCUUUAAUUUAUUGGUGAGCUCUUACUAAUUUAAAUCUUGUGAGGUUUUCUUAUCCCAAAAAAUUGAAGUUAUGGCCCAUGCAUGUAUAUUAAUUAUAAUUAAAUUAAACACUCCAACAAAUUAAUGCUGUGUAACUACCCUAAAAAUAUGAUAUGAACGUAUUUAAUGAAUGAAAGCCACUUGUGUCAAAAGAUGUUAGACAGCGGAUCACUUAAACUACAACGUUAGAGAUUGUUUGCUAAUUAAAAAGACCUUCCUCGCGCACAGAUAUAGACCCUCCUUAGCGAAGUUCGUCCCUCCUUCGAAACCCACCUUUUCGCCAAACCAGAAUGAGACUCAAAGACCACCGGAAGACACUUAGGGCUAUAGUAUGUGGUGAAAGAAACAUAUGAACAGGCGUGCUUGGAUCGUGUCUCCGGGGUUCAGUUGAAUGUAGGAUGUAUUUAGUGAAUGAAGGCCACUUGUGUCCAAAGAAGAGACUAGACCAAAUCUAGUAAUCAAAAUUGAACAAUACUAGCUAAACCCUACAAAUAACUAGGGCCUUUAUGCCAAAAAGACUCUUUAUCCAAACUAUUUUGUCAAAUACCUACAAGUUUUAAAUCUUUUGUCAAAUACCCACUUAAUUCCACCUCACCACCAACUUUUCCAACUUAACAAUUUCAGUCCCAACCUUUAUAAUAAUUCACUUUAACCCAAUACUUCCAACUUAAUAAAUUCACCCACAAGUUUUUAAUAAUACACUUCAUCCCACUCCAUCAUCCACCACUAUAUAUAUAAAAAUAUUAUCUAGGUUCCAAAAAUAUUUAAAAAAAUAAUUCCAAAAGCUAAAAAUAGAAAGUGGUUAUUUUUCCCACCAAAAAGCUCCGAUUUCGGCCACUUUUCCGGCAUUAUUUUCCUGCGAUCAACUGUAAAUUAGUCCACAAACAUAAGCUUGUCCAUUGCAUCCAUUGUUACCUCAUUUGUUUUCUAUCUUCUCAGACACACUUUCCACCAUUGUUAAAAAGCUUUAAAUCACUCACAUUACUCAAAACCACUUUAGAAAGUGUAUUACAGCAGCUCAGGCGACUCCAAGUUCAUUUAUUUAUUCCAUAAACCCAACAAUCAUUGAUUACAAGCAAUAUUUGCAAUUUCAAGUAUUUGUACAGAAAUCUGUGCAGUCAUCGACCCGUCCUCGCCAGUCAUCGACCAUGCAUACAACACGACAUAGACCAUAAGCAUAAUCUACCAUCGACCAAAGCUUAAUUCUAGGAUGUCUAUUGCAGAAUUUGUUCUGGUUUCUAGUGAUUUCAUGGGAGAAUGGGUGGAGACUUGAAAAUGCUGGAAAUGGAGAUCAUUUACCAAGGUGACAAUUCCCAUUCCUGUUCGCUGCAAUAGUUCGUACGACGAACUUGUUGCAAGCGUAAUGCAGAGCGGGGAUCUAGAUUGCGCGCCGAGCGACGUGGUGAUUAGUUAUGUAAUGCAUUCGAGGAAAAAGGGUGAAUCCUACGAUCAUAAAUAGAGAUGUACGUGUGCUAACAUACAUAAUGAAUGCUGAUGCAGAUGACUUUAGGCCAAUUUUGAGGAUAAAUGUGGUUGAGAGGUCCUUUGAAGGACCGUUGAAUUCAUCAGCACCCCCACCGUGGCGUCCGGUAGUUGACGAUGAUUUGAUCGAUGACGAUUUGAAUUAUUACGAGAACGAUGUCGAUGAUACAAUUAAUAUGGAAGAUUAUUCUAUGCAUAUGGAAGACUUUUCAUCGGACUCGCAAGAUGAUGAAGAAGACCGUGAAACGGAAUCACAAGCAGGACACUCCUUCACCGACGGAACCAAUUUCUGUUGUGGUCAAACAUUCGCCGAUAAAAAAGAGCUGAAAAUGCAACUAGAUGCAGCAACGGUGAGGCAGUCUUUUGAUUAUUAUAUGGAGAAGAGUUGCACGAAAUUGAUGAAGGCGCAAUGCUUAUCUCGUGGUUGUGGCUGGCUGUUGCGGGCAAAAAAGAACGACACCUUAGACAAAUUUUGCAUAUACAAGUAUGUCGGGAUGUACACGUGCGACGUUGAAAACGCCACCCGCAGGCACAAGAAAGUCUCAUCCGAAUUGAUUGCUUCAGUAUGCGUAAAUCAUUUUUGGGAUGGUAAGGAUCCAAGCAUAAGAGAAAUUCAAAGAAUUGUAUUUAAGGAGUUGCAUCACAAGCUAUUGGAUGUGUUGGAAAGGAAGUGUAAUUGCGAAGAACAUCAUUCGUGGGACACCGGAUCAUGGAUAUGCUUGCUUGCCGACUUUUUCCCACAUGGUGGAGUUAUUGAAUCCCGAGUCUUCUCACUCUAUCAUGGUAAACCGGAUGAAUGGAUCGUUCAUUUACUACUUCUUAGCAUUCGGAGCUUGCAUACGAGGAUAUGCCCACAUGAGAAAGGUAAUUGCCGUCGAUGGCAUACAUUUGUAUGGCAAGUACGGGGGCAUUCUACUGAGCGUCGUUGUACAGGACACCGAAAAUCAUAUAUUUUCGAUUGCCUUUUGUGUCUUCGAUAAAGAGAACGAUGCUUCUUGGACCUUCUUCUUCCAGAAGCUGAAGUCUAUCAUAGAAGAUGAACCAGAUCUAUGCGUCAUGUCCGACAGGCACAUUAGCAUCGCCAAUGCCUUCUCCCGUGUAUACAGUCAUGCAUAUCACGGACUUUGCAUGAGGCACCUCGCUGAAAAUCUUUGCGUAAAUCAACACUGCGGAGAACAUCUUUAUCUAUUCUACGCCGCGGCAAAGGCUUAUUCCUUUGAUGAGUUUAGCGAUAAUUUUGUGGAAUUGAAGAGUAAAUGCCAUGAGGCAGCUCAUGUCCUUGAAAAUGUGCUUGGUUUUGAAAAAUGGAGUAGAGCACAUUUUUCGAGCAAUAGGUACGACGUGAUGACCACAAACAUCGCCGAGUAGCUCAACUCGAUUUUGAUGGAUGAAUGGGAGUGCCCCGUGUAGUACAUAUUCAAUUCAAUUACUAAAAAAUUUGGUGAAAAGUUUAGGGAGCGGCAUGCAUUUGUCGGUGGUAAAGAGAACAUAUUUGUGCCUUCUGCGGAAAGAAUCCUAAGGGAUAAUAAGAGUGCGAGCGAUUCCUUGUAUGUGGGUAAUCCAAACGGGGUUCUCGAUGAGUAUACGAUGUUCGACAGCGGCGUUACUGCGAAGGUCAAUCUCUUGGAGAGGAGUUGUUCUUGUUGAAAAUUUAACUUGGUGAAAAUGCCGUGCGAACACGCGAUGACAGCUUUGCGAGCAAAGUACGGCGAUGACGAAGAUUAUGGUAACUCCAUCUACGACUACUCUUCGCCAAUUUAUAAAGCUGAAAGUUACCUCCUCGCAUACUCGGAAGCAAUUAAUGUGGUCCUUCCGGAGGCUGAAUGGACUGUGCCACAGAAAUUGGUAGAAACCAGAAUUUCUCCACCCCCGUACGAUCCCAAACUCGGAAGGAAGAAAGUCAAACUCACUAAGGGUGUCAGUGAGAUAUUCAAGUCCAAAAGGUCUCAAAAGAACCAUGUGUAUAAUGGGCAUCAAAUCAUAAAUAGGCUUUUUUUAGCUUCAGUUGUAAAGCUACUGUUUUGGGGGAUGAAUGUGCAUUUCUGUAGAUUUUAACGUUCAGUUAUUAUCGACCUAAAGCUUUGUCUACGAUAGACUAUCUAUAGUCUACGGUAUAUAUAAUAUAUGGUCUAUAAAAUAUUAUGUAUUGAUUAUAUUAUUGCUGAUCUAACACGUUAUGUUGGUCAUUUUCCCAGCUUAUCUCUCCAAUCGAUGCAAUGAAUCAUUAUUUCCCUUGUUUUCCAUUGCCAUUUAUUAAAAAGCUGCACAAAACGUCUCUUCACGAGGAAAAACAGCUGGUAUACGCAUACGAAACGUUUUCUCUUGUCAGACACGUCGACUUACCAUUGGGUGGAUAUAUGAACGGCGCAAUCUACAGGCCUAUAAGUACAGGCCCUCUUUCUACGCAACCCUUCAAUUUUUCCUAAAUCGAAAAUAUCAGAAAUCAUCUCUUCUUCUUCUUCUUCUUCACCCAAAUAAAAAAAAUGCCUCCAAGAAGGAUACCCCUGUGCCCCAUCAGACGUGUUUGUCCGAGGCACUACGACCUCCUCCUCCUAAGGAAUGAUUUGGACCGGAUUUUCUACGGGCUGGGUCAAGACCGCAUCUACCUGGAGCGGGAGCUCCGUCGAAUUGCUCAUUUCUUGAGGGCAAUUCUAGAAAGGCUCGAAAUGGAAGGCCCUGACUACAUCACCCCCCCCCACCACCACCACCAUCCCCAUAAUUUAGUUUAAAUGUUUUAUUUUAGUAUAUAUUUUUAAGUAUUUUUUAUUUGUUCAUUGCUGAAGAAGCUUUCUUUGUAGAAUCUUGUUAGAAGAAAGCUUCUUUCAUUUUUUCCUUUUUGAUGUAAAUUUUAUUAUGUAAUGCAAUGACCAAUUUUAAUACAACUAUAUUUCAGUUUCCUUUAACAUUGUGUGUUUGCCAUCUUUGUUCUAAUCCCUUGUUUGAAAACUCAAAUCAAAUAUUUCUGCCUUUUCAAUUUACAGUAUUGUGGCUUGACUAAUUUCCUGAAGAGUAAAAUCUAAUAGUUAGAUUUUUAUACAAAGUAUUUCAUCGACUAUACAUAUUAGUCGAUCGUAGACUACAUGAAUCGAUGGAUCAUUGGGUAAAUUAAAAUAAAUAAUAACAAAUUUUCAAAAAAUAAUUUAAUUUUAAAAGAUUUAAACAGAUUAUCACAUGUUAUNNNNNNNNNNNNNNNNNNNNNNNNNNNNNNNNNNNNNNNNNNNNNNNNNNNNNNNNNNNNNNNNNNNNNNNNNNNNNNNNNNNNNNNNNNNNNNNNNNNNNNNNNNNNNNNNNNNNNNNNNNNNNNNNNNNNNNNNNNNNNNNNNNNNNNNNNNNNNNNNNNNNNNNNNNNNNNNNNNNNNNNNNNNNNNNNNNNNNNNNNNNNNNNNNNNNNNNNNNNNNNNNNNNNNNNNNNNNNNNNNNNNNNNNNNNNNNNNNNNNNNNNNNNNNNNNNNNNNNNNNNNNNNNNNNNNNNNNNNNNNNNNNNNNNNNNNNNNNNNNNNNNNNNNNNNNNNNNNNNNNNNNNNNNNNNNNNNNNNNNNNNNNNNNNNNNNNNNNNNNNNNNNNNNNNNNNNNNNNNNNNNNNNNNNNNNNNNNNNNNNNNNNNNNNNNNNNNNNNNNNNNNNNNNNNNNNNNNNNNNNNNNNNNNNNNNNNNNNNNNNNNNNNNNNNNNNNNNNNNNNNNNNNNNNNNNNNNNNNNNNNNNNNNNNNNNNNNNNNNNNNNNNNNNNNNNNNNNNNNNNNNNNNNNNNNNNNNNNNNNNNNNNNNNNNNNNNNNNNNNNNNNNNNNNNNNNNNNNNNNNNNNNNNNNNNNNNNNNNNNNNNNNNNNNNNNNNNNNNNNNNNNACACUUCUUAAUUCACCCUCCCUAAUUUGUCUAAGCUCUAAUAUGAUUAUGUGACUUGUUUACACUCCUUCACAUGUGUAGAAAUCCACACCACAUUUAUUUAUAAUUUAUUUAAUCAUUUUUUAACUACAUCCAAGUGAUGGUCUACAACCUUGUACAUAGAUCAUCGUGGUCUACGCCUAAUCAUGAUAUCGGUCGAUGCGAUAAUAAACGUGUAAGUCUACGAUAGACUAUACUGAUCGAUGGAUGACAUAGUUUAUGAUUUACGACGGUCUAUUAAGUGUCAUCACCAUUCCAAGAUCAUCUAUUUAAAUUAUUUUUAAUGUAAUUGUUUUCUUCCACCGNNNNNNNNNNNNNNNNNNNNNNNNNNNNNNNNNNNNNNNNNNNNNNNNNNNNNNNNNNNNNNNNNNNNNNNNNNNNNNNNNNNNNNNNNNNNNNNNNNNNNNNNNNNNNNNNNNNNNNNNNNNNNNNNNNNNNNNNNNNNNNNNNNNNNNNNNNNNNNNNNNNNNNNNNNNNNNNNNNNNNNNNNNNNNNNNNNNNNNNNNNNNNNNNNNNNNNNNNNNNNNNNNNNNNNNNNNGAUGGCUGACAUAGGUCAUGAUCUACGACAGUCUAUUUAGUGUCGCCAUCAGUUCAAAAGAGAAAAAUUACUUUUCCAAUGGUAAAAAACGACUACUUUUGUAAGCCAUCAGUGUGAACACUUUAUUUUUACUUCAUAUAUAAGGUGUACAUCCCUCCUUAUUUUAUUUCAUCAACUUUAUUUUGUUUUUAAAAAUUCUACAAUGUCGCAAGUAGCUCAACAUCCAAUUCUAAAAAUACUCUAAUUUGUCACUGUGGGAAUGCGGCUGUCUUGAGGACGUCACGCGCGGAUUCAAAUCCAGGUCGCAAAUUUUAUAAUUGUGCAAUGCAAAGGUGAGGUGUGCGUGUUUUUUUUUUUAAGUUAAGUUAAUGGUUAUGUAAUUAUUUUUUUUCCUAGAAUAAUGACGCAUGCUCAUUUUUCAAAUGGCUUGAUGAGCUAUCACUUCCAUCCAGUCUAUCAACGUUUAUUUCGGGACUCGAGACAUCAAAUUUUCAAGGCUUGGCAAAAUUUAAUCUACUACAAAGGCUCCAACAAUGCGAAGAAAAUAAAGAUUUUCUCAUGACUUUUUUCAAAGAAGCCGAAGAACAGAGGGAUCACUUUAAACUAUUGCUACAUGACACCCAAAUAGAGAGGGAUCAACUAAAACAAAAAUUAAUUUUGGUCGAAAAAAGAGAAAAUGUCCUAAAAAUAAUGUUAUGUGCUAUAAUGCUAGUAUUCGUUCUUUGGAAAAGUGUAACAUGGAUGUAGUGAUAUUGAAUAAAUAAUAAUAGUUCUACUUUUGUAUAAUGUUAAAUACUAUUUUUGAUAGAACCAUAGUCGAUUAAACAACACGUCAACUUAAAUUCGACCAGCAGGGUAAUGAUAGACUAUGCAUACGGUAUAUGCCAAAAUUUGCACAGCCCUAAGUAGUCGUGUUAUUCUCCUAAUCAAAGAAGUUCAUUAACUAACUUAUUAUCAAGAAGUGCAUGUCCUUGCUACCGAAAAUUAUGAAAAAAAUUAUGAAGAAAAAGUCGGUGUCCUAGCAGAUAUUCCCUCCAUUCCUAAAUAUUAUUCAUAUUUUGAGUUUGCCUGUUCCUUGAGAAAAAAAGAAGAAGCUAACUUAAUUAAAUUAUUCUUCUUUUUAACAAAGGCGAAAUCAAGAUUUAAAAUUUGUGAGUUUUCAAUAAAUUUGAAUUAGGGUAUCCGUGUGGACAACACUUCUAGAGAUCUCUUUAGAAUCACUGAGCCAACCAAUAACUUUGUUAAUGAUUCCUAACUUUAACAUUCUUAUAUCACUACUAAAAAAAUCGGUAAAAUCGACCACACGGGGUCGGUGUGUGGUCGUUUUUCAAAAAAAAAAAAAAUUAAUUUUUUUUAAAAAACGACCACAAGUAGUCGGUUUUAUAUUUUAAAAAAUCAAAAUAAUUAUUACAAUAAUUUUACUAAUUAUAAUUAUUUAUUUAACAAAAAAAUAUUAAAAAAAAAGAAUGAAACCGACCAAUUGUGGUCAGUUUUUUUAAAAAAUAUAAUUAAAAAAUAUUUAUAAAAAUCGACCACUUAUGGUCGGUUUUUAAAAAUACUUUUUAAAUUUAUUUUAAAAAAAAAACGACCACAAGUGGUCGAUUUUUUUAAAAAAUUUAAUUAAAAAAUAUUUAAAUAAACCGACCACUUGUGGUAGGUUUUUAAAAAUACUUUUUAAAUUUAUUAUUAAAAAAAACCGACCACAAGUCGAUUUUUUUAAAAAAUUCCAUUAAAAAAUAUUUAAAAAAACCGACCACUUGUGGUAGGUUUUUAAAAAUACUUUUUAAAAUUUAUUAUUAAAAAAUUGACCACUUAUAGUCGGUUUUGUUUUAAAAUUUAAUUAAAAAAUAUUUUAAAAACCGACCACCUGUUGUCGGUUUUUAAAAAUUCUUUUUUAAUUUAUUUUUUAAAAACCGACCACUUGUGGUUGGUUUUUGAACUAAAAAAUAAAAGUAAAUAUUUUUUAGUAACACCUAAUUAUAUAUUUGUAAUAAAAUAUAUAUAUUAUUUUCAUUAAAAAUAACUAUAUAUAUAAUGUAAUAUAUAUCUAAUUUUUUAAAAUUACACUGAUCACAUGUAGUCGAUAACCAGUAUAAUAAUAAUAAAAUUCAAUAAUUCUUAAAUUUUGUGACAAAAUUACACUAAAAAAUAAUUCAAAUAAAAUAAACAAAUUACGUUAAGCAUAAUCUUUAUCUUUUACUUAUGUUUCAAUAUAUAAAAUAAAUAUUUUCCUUUGUAUAUACGUUAAAUGACGUUAAACAUGCAUAAUCUUUGUAUAAUGAAUAUGUNNNNNNNNNNNNNNNNNNNNNNNNNNNNNNNNNNNNNNNNNNNNNNNNNNNNNNNNNNNNNNNNNNNNNNNNNNNNNNNNNNNNNNNNNNNNNNNNNNNNNNNNNNNNNNNNNNNNNNNNNNNNNNNNNNNNNNNNNNNNNNNNNNNNNNNNNNNNNNNNNNNNNNNNNNNNNNNNNNNNNNNNNNNNNNNNNNNNNNNNNNNNNNNNNNNNNNNNNNNNNNNNNNNNNNNNNNNNNNNNNNNNNNNNNNNNNNNNNNNNNNNNNNNNNNNNNNNNNNNNNNNNNNNNNNNNNNNNNNNNNNNNNNNNNNNNNNNNNNNNNNNNNNNNNNNNNNNNNNNNNNNNNNNNNNNNNNNNNNNNNNNNNNNNNNNNNNNNNNNNNNNNNNNNNNNNNNNNNNNNNNNNNNNNNNNNNNNNNNNNNNNNNNNNNNNNNNNNNNNNNNNNNNNNNNNNNNNNNNNNNNNNNNNNNNNNNNNNNNNNNNNNNNNNNNNNNNNNNNNNNNNNNNNNNNNNNNNNNNNNNNNNNNNNNNNNNNNNNNNNNNNNNNNNNNNNNNNNNNNNNNNNNNNNNNNNGAUAACUCAUCAAAGUAUGUAUAUGAAAUACGUCGUAUUAUAUUAUUGGAUCAUAUACUCGUGUAUGUAUGUGAUAUAUAUAAUACGUAUUUAGAACUUGAUAUAGUUGAUGGUGUGUAUAUGCGUGUGUAUGUAUAGGUAUAUACAUAUUAUAUAGUGAAGGUAUAUUAAUGACAUAAGAUAAUCAAACAAUAAUUCAUCUGGUUAUAUGUGAAAUACGUUGUAUAUUAUUAAUUUAUCUGAUCAAUUUUGACCGCUAGAUACUCCUUUUAGGUUGUUGUUUUGUAAAAAUUAUUAACUUCAACUAUUAAUAUUUUUGACACAUUAUUCUUGUAUCAAACAUAUAUUGACGUGUCACAUUCGUGAUUUAAAAAACAUACAAAAUAUUUUUACAAAACAUACAAAAGAAUCUUCAAGUUUGAAUAGGUUUUCGAGAAGGUCUGCGUACACUGUACCCUCCACGUUGACACCCAAUUUUGACCUCCCGAUACUACAUUUAGGUUGUUAUUUUAACAAAAUUAUUAAUUUUUUAAAUAUUAGUAUUUUUGAACAUUUUUCUUGCAUCAAACAGAUUUCUAACAUGUCACAUUCAUAAUGCAUAAAUUAUUUUUAUCUUUUAGCAUCAUUUUUUAUAAUUUUUUAAAUCAAAUAUGACAUUUUACAUGAUUUUAUUAAUAAAUUACCUUUUCACGUAAUUGUGCACACUCACAUUGUUUUUCUACAUUGCCUAGUUUUUUAUUAUUUAGUACUAUUUGUUUAUUUAUUUAUUUAUUUAUUAUUAUUAUUAUUUGUUAUUUAUUAUUUAUUAUUAUUUUUUAUUAUUAUCCUUAUUAUAUUAUAUCUAUUGUUAUUUCAAUGACAACCAAUUAUAAUUACUUUAUCCAAUUUAUUCACUUUUAUUCAAUUUCUUACAAUCUUAGACUAUUUUAUUCAAUCUAUUACAUAUUCAGCCAAUUGACAUUCAGUCAUGUCAAUUUUAACCUAAUCACUUGGUCUAUUACAAUUGUAGCCAAAAUUGGGACUCAAUUCAGAAUUUUUUAUUCAAUUUUUAAUCAAAAUCUCAGCCUUUAAUCACAGCCGUUGAUCAAAGAUGAACUAACGACUGAGAUCGAAAGAAGCAUUCAUUCCUUUUAAAAAAACAAAUAAACCAAAACCCUAACCCUAAAUUCAUUUCAUAAGCUUCCACCACCACUCUCUCUACCUUCUCUUUCUCUCUCAAAACCUCUUCCGCCGCCAACUCUCUCCGAUCCCCCUCCCCGUCGCCGCUCUGCCACCAACGAUGGUAGCAACACUGCCUCCCUCCGUUCGCCCCUCCGACGGAACCAGCCGCUGCCAUCAACGCCUAACACUGGCGCCGUCCCCCUCGCGUCCUCCUUCUCCUUGUUCAUCAUCCCUCCUCCGGCGCCGUCCUCUCCAACGAAACCAGCGAACUAGCGCCGUCCUCCACCGCCGAAACAGCCAUCGCUUUGCCAUAAAACGAUGGGUUCUCAAGAACCCAUCCUAGGUUUGAUUCCAUAUUUUAUUUUUUCUCUCCUAACGUGACAGAUUUAUGUGAUUAGAAGUUAAUUUGAUUAAGUAUGUUGAUAAAAUCUUGUGUGCUUUAGUUUGAUUAAUUAUCUAUGCUGUUAUGCAUGAGAAUUCUCCAAUUUUAUUGUAUUAUUGGGGAUUUCUUUUUGUAUUUUUGAAAUUGUUAUAUGUGUGUAUGUUUUGACGUAGUUCAUAUAUAAAUUAAACUAGUAAGGUAUUUGACUGUGUCUGCUCCUUAUCGACAGUACUAGAAAGGAGAACAAAAUUCUAACUAGAAAGGAGGUGUAGGUAUGAAGUCUGGGACUAAUUAUGAAUAGUUGUAAAUUGAUUUUUUUGGUGUUAUUAGUUGAUUUUAGUUAAUUGGUUCCUGGACCACCAGUUUAGGGCACAAAGCAACAUACAACUUUUAUUAUUUUUUCUACCACUUGCCUAAUCGUUCAAAUUAUCUUUUUUGAUUGACAAGGAUUAUACAAAAUUGUAGCCAUGUGUUAUGUUAUUAUAAUUUUAUUUUAAAUUCUAUAUAUUGUUACUUUAAAAAAGAAAAAAAAAAGACUAUCAAGUCAUUCACGGAAUAUUUAUGGGUAAAAUUCUUUAAAAUGUUAAAUUUCUAGUUUUGAAAAUAAGACAGGUUCUAAGUUGAUUGAAAUAGAGAUAUGAUUGGGGAUUUAGAAAAGCUUGAGCAAGAACAAUUCCAUCUAGGGGAUCUGAUUGGAACUAUUCUGAAAUAACUAUUUAAAAAUAGUUAGUGUAGUGACUUGAAAUGUGUACUACUAAGUAUACUGACUUGAAAAUGUGAAUUAGUUAAUUGAAAAUAGUUAAGUGUAGUGACUUCAAAUGCUAGUACAUGACUUGAAAAUGGUUAAGUGUAGGGAUUUUAAAGGAAUUUUUUUUUGUUUUAAGGUACUUGAAAUGUGGACUUGUAUUUUGAAUUUAGUUAAGUGUGGUCACUUGAGAAGUGAAUAAGUACUUGAAAAUGUUUAAGUGUAGCUUGUUGAAAUGUGGACUUGUGUUUUGAAUUUAGUUAAGUGUGGUCACUUGAGAAGUGAGUUGGUGACUUGAAAAUGCAUAAGUGUAGGUACUUGAACUUGUGUUUUCAAUUUAGUUAAGUUUGAUCACUUGUGAAGUGAAUUAGUGACUUGGAAUGUUUAGAUGUAGUUACUUGAAUUAUGAACUUGUGUUUUGAAUAUAGUUAAGUGUGGUCACUUGAGAAGUGAGUUAGUGACUUGAAAUUGCACAAGUGUAGAUACUUGAAACGUAGACUUGUGUUUUCAAUUUAGUUAAGUUUGGUCACUUGUGAAGUGAAUUAGUGACUUGGAAUGUUUAGAUGUAGUUACUUGAAUUAUGAACUUGUGUUUUGAAUAUAAUUAAGUGUGGUCACUUGAGAAGUGCAUUAGAUAGUUGAAAAUAUUUUAAGUGUAGUUACUUGAAAGGUGGACUUGUGUUUUGAAUUUAGUUAAGUGUGGUCAUUUGAGAAGUGAAUAAGUACUUGAAAAUGUUUAAGUGUAGGUAGUUGAAAUGUUGAUUUGUGUAUUGAAUUUAGUUAAGUGUGGUCACUUGAGAAGUGAGUGUAGUCACUUGAGAAUUGCAUUAGUGAGUCGUAAAUGUUUAAGUGUAGUUACUGGAAAGGUGGAAUAGUGACUUUUGUUUUGAAUUUAGGUACUUGAAAUGUGAACUUGCGUUUUGAUUUUAGUAAAGUGUGGUCACUUGAGAAGUAAAUUUGUGACUUCAAAAUGUUUUUAAGUGUAGGUACGUUUUUUUCAUUUUGAAUUAAGUUUAGUUUAGUAACUUGUGAAGUGAAUUAGUUACUUAAAAAUGUUUAGGUGUAGGUAUUUGAAAUGUGAACUUUUGUGACUUGAACUAAUCACUUGAAUUUGAUUGAUUGUGUAGAUGAAAUCUGAUUAUAGCUGGAUAUAUCAACGAAAUAUCGAUAAUAGAAUGGAUGAGGCUGAGAAUGAAGUUGCGGAUAAUGAAUUGUCGUUUUUAGUAUUUUGUAUGUUUUAUAGUUUGGAUUUGGAACCUCGAUAAAUUUUGUAAAUAAUGUUUGUAUUCUUAUGGUGAUUGGUUGAUUGUAUAUUAAAUAAUUGGUGGGAUGUAUUGUAGAUAAUAAUCAAUGUUUGUAAAUGAUUGUGGUCGGCUAUAUUGUAAAUAAUUUGAUUUUUAAUUUUUGUAUUUUAAAAAAUUUCAAUAUUUUUUUUUACAAAAUUAUCAAAUAAACCGACCACAUGUGGUAGCUUUUUUUAAAAUUUUCAAUAUUUUAUUUACAAAUUAUCAAAAAAAUCGACCACAUGUGGUAGCUUUUUAAAAAAAAUUUGAUUUUAUUUUUACAAAAUUAUCAAAAAAACCAACCACAUGUGGUAGCUUUUUUAAAAAAAAUUAAUUAAAAAAUAUUUAUAAAACCGACCACAAGUGGCCGGUUUUUAUUUAUUUUUUUAAUUUUUUUUAUAAACUGACCACUUGUGGUUGAUUUUUAUAAAAUUAAUUAUUUAAUUUUAAAAUAAAACCGACCACUGGUCGGUUUAUUUUGAAUUUUUUAAUUCUUAAAAUCAUUUUUUCUAUUUUAAUAAAAUAAUAAUGAAUUUAAAUUAUUUUUUUUUAAAAAAACCGAUCACUUGUGGUUGGUUUUUAAAAAGCCAACAUAGGUUUUCCGACCACAUAUUUUGGUCGGUUUUGUGAUCGGUUUUUGGAAAAAAUCGACCACACGUGGUCGAUUUUGAUGGUCGAUUUUCUCCUUUUUUCUAGUAGUGGCAAGUGUUACUGUUGAUUUGAUCAACAAUGUCCAUGAUCACAUCUGUUUGGACAGCUUCAACUUCUUUUUUCUCAAUAAUUGCAGCUGCUUCUUCAUUCUCACCUUCUUUUUUUUCAGCAUGUGCAUCAACUGUUGCUUCUUCAGUUUCCUUUUCUUCCACACCUUCUUUUCUUACUUCACCUGCAGCAGCUGUUUCUUCCUCAACUUUAGUAGCUGUUUCUUCCUCAGCUUCUUCUUUUCGUUCACCUGCUACUUCUUGCUCAACUUCUUCUUUGUCAGCUUUGUCAUCUUCUUCUUCAACAGUUUUUCCUUUUUCCGCGCCUCCUUGUUCAUCUGCUGCCGCUUCUUCUUCUUCUUCUUCUUCUUCUGCUGCUGCUGCUGCUGCUGCUACUUUUCCAUCUUCUUCUUGGCUCUUAUCUUCUUCACCAUCCUUCUUUUCUUCUUUUUCCUCUUCUGCCACAACAACGGCCAACUCAUCCAUUUUGCUCUUUUUUUCUCCUUCUUCAUUCCUCUCCGAUUCAUGCACAUGCACUAUUUCAUAAUAUUAUAAAGUGUUACUGAUAUUUAAAGNNNNNNNNNNNNNNNNNNNNNNNNNNNNNNNNNNNNNNNNNNNNNNNNNNNNNNNNNNNNNNNNNNNNNNNNNNNNNNNNNNNNNNNNNNNNNNNNNNNNNNNNNNNNNNNNNNNNNNNNNNNNNNNNNNNNNNNNNNNNNNNNNNNNNNNNNNNNNNNNNNNNNNNNNNNNNNNNNNNNNNNNNNNNNNNNNNNNNNNNNNNNNNNNNNNNNNNNNNNNNNNNNNNNNNNNNNNNNNNNNNNNNNNNNNNNNNNNNNNNNNNNNNNNNNNNNNNNNNNNNNNNNNNNNNNNNNNNNNNNNNNNNNNNNNNNNNNNNNNNNNNNNNNNNNNNNNNNNNNNNNNNNNNNNNNNNNNNNNNNNNNNNNNNNNNNNNNNNNNNNNNNNNNNNNNNNNNNNNNNNNNNNNNNNNNNNNNNNNNNNNNNNNNNNNNNNNNNNNNNNNNNNNNNNNNNNNNNNNNNNNNNNNNNNNNNNNNNNNNNNNNNNNNNNNNNNNNNNNNNNNNNNNNNNNNNNNNNNNNNNNNNNNNNNNNNGUACAACAGUGAAAAAAAUAACUGAGUCUAUGACAUAGUAUAAAUAAAAUGAUAAUCUACGAUAAACGCACUAAAGGGUUUAUGGUAGAUACCAUGAAUGCCCAGGGAAAUUCGAAUAGAGCAUAGGAUGCCUUUUGCUUCUCAUCAAAUACUCCCUUCUGCUUCUUCAGGUCACUUUUCUUCUCCAGAUAGUCCAUGGUCAGUUGAAAUGUCUCUUUCCUCCAUGAAUACUUCUCGAAGAAACUCAAAGAGUCAACCAUUCUAAUCAGUUUUGUGUCGACAACCUUCAUCGAAUCUUUCGCAAGCAACAUGGUGUGCAAGAACCACAGUAGACAAAACUUGAACUUCUGGUCCUCGUUCAGCUUAUUCCCUCUGAUCAGGUGUAACAAGUUGGCCGCCGUGAUGUUUUUAUUUUUUGUCACCUUAAAAUAAAAAUUGUCCCCCUUUGCUAACACCUUUUUCAUUUUUGAUUCACUGGGGUAUGAUGAGCAGUUCAGCCCCGUGAUCAAACAAAACUCUUUCAAACCAAAACAGGCAGGCUUGUUGUUAACGCAGAACCGCAUCUCAUGACGCAUCUUAUCGUUCUUAACGCGUCGCAACAACAAAUAAUGGACCAACUGCCCAUUGAACUUGAGAUGUUCCGGCAGGUUUCUCAGGUGUCCAAAACAGGACCGCUUGAAUCUUUUCUUCAAUUCUUGGUCGACAAGAAUUUGCUUAAAUUCUCGAUAAGUAGCUAUUCUUGAUCUGACCGAUAUCUUUUUCGAAAAAGAUCCGACCUCGUCAAUUAUCGUUCGAAGAUCAUACCGCUCCACGAAAAUGCACCUUGAAAGAUAUGGCACGGACAACGAAUCAUUAUCCCCAUCAUCACUAUUACUCCCACUUCUCUCGCACUCUUCACUGUCACCACUGACACUCCGCUUAGUAAUAUCUUCACUAGAAUCGACGUAGUCGCUUAUCUCCUUUAACUCUGAAUCUGAUUCGGACACCAACUCUUCAAUUUUCUUUCUUUUUGACACUUUUUCAACUGCCGCAGCUCUUCUUUUUCUACUACUACCAAUGGUAUCGUCUUUCUGUUUAGGAGUAACAUUUUUUCUACCCAUUUUCAACAUAGUCUACACCUAAAGAACAAAUCUCUCAUUUUCAGUUCAUAGACCACAAGUCUAUCAACAAAAAUAACUCAAUGAUCAAAUGAAACCCCCCUCCAAAAAAAAAUUAACAAACACCCCACCAUUAAACAGUUCACUACACAAACAUACAAUAAUUGAACCAAAAUCGAACAUGCAAAAUAUCAAAACACAACAAUUGCUAAAAAUCAAACUAGUGCACCUAAUCAAACUAAUUAGCUAUUAAUAUUUCAAUUUUCACUAUUUCAGCAAUCAUGUUUUAAAAGAAUUUCAUACGUCUGAAAAUUGAAAUAUAUCUAGGGCAUUCUCAUUUCAUAGACCACGGGUCCACGAAUAGACCGCGGGUCUACGGACAGAAACAGGACGCUGUUCAAAUCAAAAUGUCAAAAUAACUCUUCAAACAACAAUUAUACCACCAUUCAACACUUUGUUGCUAAAAAAAAAUACGAUUAAAUCAAAACACCAAAUUUGAAAAAAAAAAAAUCCUACAUCACUACCAAUCGAUUAGCAAAAAGAAAAACCAUUUAAAUGGAUCUAGAAAUGAUCAAAAAUCGAUUUUAACUAACCUUGUGAAGCAACAACGCCCCCUUAGCAGCUGCAGACGAAGAACGUACGAAAAUGACGUUUUUGGGAGAAGUUGUUUGAAAGCGGGAGUUGGGAUUUGAAGAGGAGAGAGAGAGCGUUUUUUUUUUUUUUGGAUAUUGGAAUAAGUGAAGGGGGUUAGGUGUAUUAUAUUAAAUUUGUAAAGUUGUAUAAAUGAUGAAUUGGUCUCUUGACCCACGUGUGGGCCCCACUUUUUCCACUUUUUAUAUCCUAAACCUAAAAAAUAAAUCAAAAAGAAUUAAGUGGGUAUUUGACAAAAUAAUUUUGCAAACGUUCUUCUUUGCCAAUUAUUCCCAAAUAACUAUGUAUUUAGUGAAUGGAAGUCACUUAUGUCAAGAGAGAUCAAAUAUACUAGUCAUUAAAAUUAAUUAAACAGCACUAGCUAGAUUAAUAUGCUUGUAAGCCCUACAAAUAACUAUAUCACAUAUAUGCUUGUAAGCCCUACAAAUAACUACAAAUAAUAUGCUUGUAUGUAUUUAGUGAAUGGCCACUUAAGACAAGAUCUAAUUGAGUAAUUAAAAUAAUUCAAAUAGAAGAGUUAGACAUAUUAUUUCACAUAUACAUUAAUUCUCUUAUAUUCUACUACUAUGCUCCCUAAAUGAAGACUAUUAAACUAAAGUUCAAUCUUUCUAAAAAGAAACUUUUAGUCAAGUUCUAUUUCCAAAGUAUAGAUUGCAUCAUUAUUUUAUAAACUGAUAUAUAUAUAUAUAUAUAUAUAUAAAUAUAUAUAUAUAUAUAUAUUUGUAAAAUCUAAAAACAAACACUAUUUAUUUUGGUUUGUUUCAAGCAUCAUCAUUUUGUUAUAUUUAGCCCAAACAUCAUAUUAUUUUGUUAUUGUGUGAUCACACAAAGAACAAGAUCUAAAAGAAGACAAAACAAAUUGGAUUAUUAUUAUUAUUACAUUCAUCAUAGAUAGUUUUUAUUGAAGUGUGUACAUGCAUGUGCUUAGCUUGUCUCAAUAGAACAGACAUGCAUGCACGUUGUGGAGGUACAUUUAUUUUCACAAGUUAUAUGUGUAUACAUCAAAAAUUUAUGAAUAUAUAUGUACGUACUAACAUGCUUAAAUUAAAAUCACACGAAGUGAAACAUUCAUAUAUAAUCAAUUUUAACUUGUUCAAAAUUGGAUCUGAUAGUAUAUAAGAAAAGUCUCUCUAUAGUGAUUUGUCUCCAAAAAAAAGUAAGACAUAAGUUUUGUGUAUAUAUUCUACCUUUUUUAGAUCUUACUUAUGCGAGACUAUACUGAUCAAUAUGUUGUUGUCAUUCGCUAGUCUACCUCUACGAUGUGGUCCAUAAUUAAAUACAAAAUGUGGCGCGGAAUUUGGAUUUCAAGUCAAUUGAGAUUUUUUUUUUAAUCCACUCUAUUUAUAUUAAGAGAAAUUAAUUUUCAAAAACAAACUAAACUACAAGUCUUCCUCGUGCCAAAUAAUUUUGCCCAUGGUAUAUUAUCUAGGAAAAAAACUUUUAAAAGUUGAAUUAUGAAAGCUCAAUUCUCCAUUUUUAGUUGCCCCAAGCUAAUAAAAAGCUGAAAAAAUAAAUAGGAAAACAAAAAGGGUCAAUAAAAACGGUUUUUUUCAUUUUAUGGAUAAGAAAUAAACGAGUGACAUAAUUAGAGGGGUAUAUAUAUAGUUGGCAUAGCUGUCUCCUAAUUUUUUUUAGACAUUUGGAAUUAUAUAUAUAAAAAAAAAGAAAAAAUUAAAUUUGAAUAAAUAUACAAGAUAUGUAUUUGCCUUGAUUUCUUUUUUUUUUUUUUUUGCUUUUUGGUUUCUUGCUUUUUGUAGUCUUGUGUUAAGAAAUUUUAGGAAAUACAAAGGAUGUCGUCUAAUCCUCAAUUGCAAAAGUAUUAUUAAAAAUAAUCUCUUUUAAAAUGUGUUAUGCUUGACCUCAUUUAUUACAUAAUAAUUUUCAAAAAAAUAAUUAAAUUAUAGCAAGUGGAAUUUAACCAGGAACGAAAUUACUUUUGUUUAAAGAAAGUCUACCGAUCCUUCUGUCGGAAUAUUAUCCUAUAUAGGUUGGUUAAUUUUUAAAAUUUGUAUAUAUGAUGUAAAUGUGGAAUAUAUCAUUUUUUUUUAAUUUCGACACUAAUAUCAUAAUGAAGAUGCUGAUUAUGCUAUUUAACUAUUUAAUUUGCAAGGUUUGAGCCUUCUAAGUUGCAAUAAAAUCAACCCUUGAAUUGGCCAUAAUUCCCAAAUGUUUAUUUGCUGCAAAAUAAUGGACCAAACGUACCAUGUAAAAAGACAUAUAUAUCAUAGUCAUAUUAUUCUCUGCAUUAAAACUAUAAUCAAUUGUCCACUCUAAGAAUACAUUUGUUCUUGUGAACCAAAAGAUAAGUUUUUUGAAAUGACUGAAAAAUGAAGAGAUAAUAUUAACAAAAAUAAAAAGCAGUUUCAAGAAGGAGAAGGGAAACAUCUACAAGAAAAUAAAAUAAUAAAUGAAACCAUAUAAUAAGUUUUAAAUAAAUAAAAUGGUUUAGGAAAUUAGCCCCACCCCCAUGUGACCUUGUGUCCUGACUUACUAGAGUCCAAAAAAUCCUCCACAAUUUUGGUGAAUACAUCAUUUUCCUAUGGAAAAAUAGAAAAGAACACACACACACCAAAAAAAAAAAUUAAAUGGAAACAUAAAGUUGUAAAAAGGAAAAAAAGAGACCAUGUGUUAGCUGCCAAUAUUAUCUCAAAUAAAAAUUAAAUGUAAGUGGACUUUUCACGUCGGUGCAUGGAAAUUGCAUGGAUGGAGACACAUGAGUGCUUGACUUGGUUCAUAGUUUUUUUUUUUUUGCUUAAUAUAUGAACAAAUGAUAAAAUAUUUUUAUUAAAUAUUAUAUAUAUAUAUAUUCAAAGUUUGAUUAUUAUUUUUUUGCUUUAAGGGGUCGAUCAUUACGUAAAUAAAUUAAAUAUUUAUAUAUAUAACCUUAUAAUACACAUCAGACUCAAUAAGCGAUAAAAGUGCAAGCAUAUUCUGAUUGAGAUUGAUAUGUAUAACUUAAAAAUAAGAAUUAAAAGUAACUAACAAAAAUAAUUUAUCGUCUAUUCAGGUAUUUAAUUAGACCAAAUCCUAAAAAUUAAAGGGUGAGGUAUUUUCGUUUUUGGGAAGUCUUAUAUGAAAGAG
RNAcentral lists this long non-coding RNA (45851 nucleotides) under Capsicum annuum. Its description in RNAcentral is "long non-coding RNA (CANN_LNC022297)". Lineage: Eukaryota; Viridiplantae; Streptophyta; Magnoliopsida; Solanales; Solanaceae. The record is from RNAcentral.